Molecule: long non-coding RNA, 58614 nt
Filed under: Marmota monax (woodchuck)
Lineage: Eukaryota; Metazoa; Chordata; Mammalia; Rodentia; Sciuridae
Source: RNAcentral
UUUAUCUGCCGGCGUGAGGAUCCCAGGGCCAGGGCUGCCAGUUAGGACGUUCGCGCUGGAUUGACAAGACUGGCUUGACUUGGCCCUGGACUCGCCCUCCACUCUUCCUCCUCUGGGAGAGGAGAGCCGGGUGGGGAAAACAGGCGGCUGUUUGCAUUAUGCAUCAGGGUCGCACGCCUAGGAGGAGGAGCCGAUUCUCACCCCGGGAAAGGGGAGGGGAGGAGAGCGAUUAAUAGGCUUCCUUCCUGCUGUCAGUUGAUUUCUAAAGCCUAGGGUCAAGCCGAGGUUUGACUUUUCCCUUUGAGGACCUGCACUGUGCUUUUCAGCUACCCAAUUUUCCUCUUAGAGCACGGGAGGAGGAAGCUUAAAAGGCUGAAACAGUCUCCCCAAGAGUCUCCCAAAUCUUUUACAGACCUCAAAUAGUCCUACUGACCAAGUGGAGGUUUUCAUUAAAGUGUCUUCGAAGAAAAUCCUCCAGUUUCACUUGGUAAAACUUGCCGCAACUUCCCCCAUAACUCCGAACGCGCACCACCCUCGCGAGGUGCUCGCCCUGAGCAGCUUUUAUCUGAUUUUCCACGCCACGCACAGCAUCAGCAACGCCUGGCCCAUCAGCAGAGACACCUGGGUGAACCGGGCGGGCACGUGAAUCACAGGUCCUGCUACGUGCUGUUUGAGGCAGCCCUGUUUACAGGUACCUUGUAAAACCAGGGAGGGAAGGGUAUUGUGAUCCGUAUAAGUUAGCUCUUAACACUAGAGCACUUCAGGAGUUUUCUGUGCUUGUCAAAGAGAAAUCUGAGACAGAGAUGUGGACCACAGAACCAAGCAAGUGGUGGUGGCCAAGAAUUAAUUUGGAAAAGCAAAAGAUUUUAAUGCCCCAUCUGUAACAUCUGUGCGUUCUGCCUCUCAGGACUAUGUGAGAGGGUAGCUUUGCUCACAGUUAUCCUGUGCUCAUUGGUUAGCUAAGACAGGUGUUUUGAUUCACCUGAAAUUCUGGUCAGCUGAAAAUUUUCAUGCACGUCACAUAACACGCUGACAUUUUUGAUAGCAAAGAUAUUCUCAUUCCUCUGUAGAAAGCUUUGUAUUUUUCCAAAGGUUUUCCACUUUCCCAAUUUGAUUCUCACAAAAUUCCUUGGACCUAAAUAUCUCAUUUCUUAGUUCAAUACGGUGGCUUUUUUUCCCUACAAAGCUUACAAAGAGAGAGGAGAUGUCCAUAUAAUGCUUGAUAUUAAAAUAUGGUCCUGCUAGUUAACAAAAAAACAGUUGAUUUUCAAAUGGUAAUUCAAAAGACACUUCAGAAUCUUACAGAACUUUGAGAGUAACCAUUUUGAGGUGAGGGGAAAAACCUGGAUUUAAACCCAGGCAGUGUGGUUACCUAGAUGAGUGAGCAGACAGUAAUUUAACUUUUUGAAAUGCAGUUUUCUCAUUUGUGAAAUGGGGAACUCUCCCUCUUAAAUAUUUAUAAUGCAGUAAUGCCUAUAAAGCAUUUUUACACAGUGCCUGGCAUAUAUUGCAGCUUAGGAGAUUUUAACUCAUUAUUUUACACAUAAAUUAUUGCACAGCAUGAAAAUUGAGGUUUUAAGUUUCUAGAUUUCUAGCUUUUCACUUUUUAGAUAAAGAGGAGCCUAUUUCACAGCAGUUCUUUGAGUUUCUAAAGAGAGACCUCACUAAGCACAUGAAAAAUAAACCCAUCCUGGAGUUUAUCAAAACUGAUCACUUUNNNNNNNNNNNNNNNNNNNNNNNNNNNNNNNNNNNNNNNNNNNNNNNNNNNNNCAUAUAAUGCUUGAUAUUAAAAUAUGGUCCUGCUAGUUAACAAAAAAACAGUUGAUUUUCAAAUGGUAAUUCAAAAGACACUUCAGAAUCUUACAGAACUUUGAGAGUAACCAUUUUGAGGUGAGGGGAAAAACCUGGAUUUAAACCCAGGCAGUGUGGUUACCUAGAUGAGUGAGCAGGCAGUAAUUUAACUUUUUGAAAUGCAGUUUUCUCAUUUGUGAAAUGGGGAACUCUCCCUCUUAAAUAUUUAUAAUGCAGUAAUGCCUAUAAAGCAUUUUUACACAGUGCCUGGCAUAUAUUGCAGCUCAGGAGAUUUUAACUCAUUAUUUUACACAUAAAUUAUUGCACAGCAUGAAAAUUGAGGUUUUAGGUUUCUAGAUUUCUAGCUUUUCACUUUUUAGAUAAAGAGGAGCCUAUUUCACAGCAGUUCUUUGAGUUUCUAAAGAGAGACCUCACUAAGCACAUGAAAAAUAAACCCAUCCUGGAGUUUAUCAAAACUGAUCACUUUAAAUUGUGCCAGAAAAGUGCUUGAUCCCAUCUUGGAAGGGAAAGGUCAUCUUUCAGGCAGAAGGUUCCAUAUUUAUUUUCUUAACAGUUACUCUGUUUUGAAAACUUGCCAUUUUUUUUUUCUCAUCUUGUUUUGUUUUGCUACUAUUGCAUUACGGAUACUGGUUCUAUAUAGAGCAUGGUAUAAGAGAUUAGUUAUUGGCUUCGUUAAAUAGUACUUACUGAGCCACGUGUGUGGACAUGUAGCCUUUCAAGAAAAGUAAUGCAGGCUACAAAAAGAUUUAAAAAAAAAAAAAAAAAAACCCAGAGCCAUGUCCAUUAUAUGAAACUGUGUGGCACAAAAUUGUGUCAGAGCUGCUUAUUUUUGGUCCUCUAUGCCCAGCACCUAUGAGGAGGAGGGGCUAGAUACUCUGCAGAGAAACUCCAGAUUUGCCUGGGGAGGAAUCUUAUGGGUGGGUGAUCAGCAUUUCUGCAAGAAGUGAGCAACUGAGACACCUUUUAAAACCCUUUGGCUGCAGGCCUGGAAUGUCAACCCAUUGGUAGCUACUGACAGCAGACAUUAAUUGUUGAGAUGAGAGAGGGAGGAGCUUGGGCCAGAAUGCAGAGCCUAGCGGAAGGAGCUGUGGAGGACCAUAUAUGGAUUCCAGUUACUGAAAAGUUAAACAGUCCUGCAAAAGACAAAUUGCAUUUGCUCAGGCUGCAGGCUGGGAGAUGCUAGUAAGUGCCUAGGCUGCAUGUGGUAGUCUUAGGUUUUCUGUCCUCAUACCUAUGCUCUCUCCAGGACCUCCCAGACCCAUGCGAGCCCAGUUCAUCUGCACCAUCACCUCAUCUAUGAACCCCUGGUGUGAGAGAACCUGCCCCUUGCUCCUUCAUAGCCUGUUGCAAAGAUUAAUGAUAUGGACCUAAAUGCUCCUGGGGGGAGGUGCUGUGUGGAUGUCUUUUCAGUAAUGUUUUCCAUAUAGACCUGUCAGCUGCCCUGAAACAAACCAGAGAUGGGAAAGCUACACAAUUCACCAGCAUGUCCUAGGGGCUUGGGGCUGUGCCCAGGGCUCUUAGAGCAGUCUUUGCUACAGGUUAGAUUCCCCUGUGGAACUGAUAUUGUUAAGAAGUAACUGCUAAAUGUUGCCUGGGGGUGGCUGAGAUUGGCUGGCUGGAAGAUAGAAACCAGUAUUCAAAAAUAAAGGGGGGAGGGGCUGAGGAUAUAACUCAGUGUGGUACGGUGAUUUUUAGCAAGCAUAAGGCCCUGAGUUGAUUCCCAACAUCAUGGGGGGAAAAAGAGAAAAUAAAAAAUUAGACCACAGGGUAGGUUCUGAAAGCACUUCAACAUCUUUAUGUAUAGUCUUAGAAAAGAAAGAUCAACAAAAAAGAUAACAUGCUAUAAAGAACAGACUACACUAAUUGGGACAUUUAAUUUCCCAAAUAUUUAAUUUUCCUUAUAAAAAAUAUUUGUGGUGACUCACAAAAAUACACUAAUUUUUAGUGCUUGCAUAUAAAAUAGGGCAGUUCAGGCAAAGGAAAAAUCAAGAUUGAAUAAUAAAGCCAAAGUAGCAUUCAAGUCCUGUGCUAUGUUUAAAGCAGAUCACAAAUCAGUUUUCAGAUUCUCAGAAGACAGUUCAGGACAAUUGCAUGAUGAGUUAUAAAAGUCCAUGUAACCAUAAGCAAAGGCCUAUCAACUACUUUUUUAAAAUGACAGAUGUUUCCUGCUGUUCUCCCUAACAUGUAGCAACAGUCUCCUGUCUUUAAGGUAAAGGCCUUUCAUAGAAUCAAGAUUCAACAAGGGUAAGCCAAGUUCACGCUGUACUGCAAGGGAUCGACAUGAUAAGAUGGACCCCAAAUCAUCAGGUGACAGAGAUAGCUUCCUCCAGUUUCAGUUUUGAUUGACAUACAGCCAGGUCUGCUUAGAGAAUUAGGGCUACAUCUUAAAAGUGUUGGAGUGUGCCAGUCCCCAAGCCAGUGUGAAGGAUAGCUUGAGGCAAGAAGAAUCAAAAUGUUCUUAGUACAGUAAAUGGGUUGGAAAGCCCUGGUUUGGAGGUGUGUCCCUUACCUCUGCACUAAGACAGCCUUAGCUUUAACUUGCACAAGUUCUGAAUGUUGUUGAAGGUGUGGGUCUCUGGAAUUUUCUCCCAAGACAGGAAGAAAUGUUUCACACAGUCACACAAUUUGUGCCCGAUUUUGAAGUAAAAGCAACUUUUAAAGAUUAGUCAGCUUUAUGUACAGAUAUGCAACUUUUAGGGGGGAAAAAUGCAAACAAUACAGAAAGAGGAACUUCUUGCUCCUUGGUUGCAUGUCUCAAGAAUAUGAAGAAAAAUGACAUGCUUUGGAUGUCACAUUUGUUCCUGAAAGUUCUAACACACACACACACACACACACACACACACACACACACACUGUGUCCCAGUCUAGAAGUCUAGGGCUUCUCCUGAAGGAAAAUCUUUUGCAAUAAUAGGGGUGAGCGGAUAGGAGUCAGCAGUCUCCUUGGCCAAUCAGAUGUGUAGGAUCACACCUGGGAUUUUUUUGGUUGGAGAAGUCUGUUCUAGACAUAAUUCAAUUCUGCAGUUUGUUUUGCCACUACUGGGGGCUGCAGGACAUUGGCUGGGGUGGCUCCUCUUACAGUCCCCACAAGCAACAAUAAGGAAGAACAAGGGACCUUCAAUGAGGGAGAACUGCUGGCCCCCACUGGGCAGUCUCUGGUCUAGAUAUUGGUGUUCGACUUAUUUCAGGAUUUGUGAGUUGAUUCCUUUAAGUGUCUGUCAUUCAUCAUCUCCUUCUUUUUAUAGAACUAACCCUGUUUCUAUUCUUUAAGUCUAUGAGGAAAAGUGUUAUUUAACACUGAUUGAGAACUGGGAGAGGCUGGGGUUGUAGCUUAGUGGUAGAGCGCUCACCUAGCAUGCACAAGGCACUGGGUUGGAUCCUCAGCACCACAUAAAUGUAAAAUAAAGAUAUUGUGUCCACCUAAACUUAAGAAUAAAUAUUUAAAAAAAAAGAACUGGGAGAACUGAGCUCAAUAAUAUGGUAUCAAGCCAAUUUGAUAGGUAAUAAGAAGGUUGACUUUAACAUUUUUCUGAUAUAAGGCAAGAUAUCUUUUAUGGUAGAAUAAAAAUACCUGUAGCUCAGUGGUAAAGUGUUUGCCUAGCAUGUGUGAGGCACUGGAUUCAAUCAUCAGCAUCACAUUAAGAAAAUAAAAUAAAGAUAUUAUGUGUUCAUCUACAAUUAAAUAAAUAUUUUUAAAAAAGAAUAAAAAUACCUAUAGAACCCAUGCCAUCAAAACAUUUGUACUUAAUAUAAGUAAAAAUACAUUUCCAAUCUGGACAUGUGGAGUUGACCUUACUUCCCUUUUUAAGGAAACAAACUUAAAGAUAUAACAUCAGAAAGUGGAAAGAAACUAGACCUAAAAAUCAAAUUGGCAUAGGCUUGAAAUUAACUUCUACCACUUAAUACUUCUGUGAUGCUGAUCAACUGGGUGACACUUAGAGAGUUUACAAUAGUAUAAAGGGCCCUUGCUACAAAGCCCACAGCCUUCCAGGAGAUCAGUUAGGCUUAAAGAAAACAUAGCUAUCUAUAUUGCAUGGAAAAUUUUCAGGGUUCAGGAUAAAGGUAGCUAGAUUCCAAUAGGAUGUAAAAUACAUUUCUUAACCCAAAAUGGAGGCCUGUUUAUAACAUAAAGCCAGGAAAGCUACAUUCCUGCAAGUUUUUAAUGAUCAUUGGUGAUUUUCCAGGAAUUUGGCACAUAACUACAAAUAUUUAUGAAGGACUUGGUAUGUGCAAACAUUGUUCUAAGCACUUUACAGAUAUUACCUCAUUUAAUCCUCUUGCAAUCUUCUGUCAUUUAUUCUUUUAUUCUCUUUAUUUUAGAAAUGAGAAAACUGAGGCAGUGGUUUUAAUGAAAUGUCUGAGGUGGAGUUUAAAAGCAGUUUUGACCCCCAACCCGUGCUCUCAACCCUACACUAAACUGCCUUUUGGACAAGGGAGCCUCAGGGUAGUUUCCUCCUAGACUAGUAAAAAUACUCUCUCCUAAGACAAUGACUGUAUCCUGUGUUUUUUGUUCAGGGACAAUUUUUUUUUUUUUUUCCUGGAAGGCCCAAGGUUCACUGCUGUUGCCAAUAACCCUGAGAAUCUAUCAUCAUCCAUGCACAGAUACAGUCCUUCUUCUGCAGCUCUGUCAACCAGCUGGACCCAUAAGUUCCCCACUUUGUGUAUUAGCUGACCUCUCUAGCAAAUCUGUGUUCAUUGGACUGGUCCUCGAGGAGGCAGUGAGUGGUGCUAUGGGAAUACAGGCUUGAGAAGGAGGCUAGGUUUCCAAACACUUGGAGUUCCAGUGCCUGUGCACACCAUCCUUCCAGUCCCAUCCCUGGACCUGAAAGAAACCCUUAUCAGGUCUAGAAUGCUCAUGAAGCUCAGAAAUUAUGAAAACAGGGAGAGCAUUUUUGCACUUAUCACAAAGAAAUACCUGGAGAAAAUGGUUUGAGAACUUGAGAGUUCAGCCUCUUCCUUUGGAACCCCUUGAUUAGAAACUGAAAUCCAGAAAGAACAAAGGAGGGUGAAUGGUUUUAAACAAGGUUUGGGACAGAUGGUUGGAGAGCUUUGAAUCUCUCUUUCCUUUCCCCCCAUUCCUACCUGUCCCCCAACAACACACCCACAGGUCCCAAAGGUUGAAGGUUUGUCUGCAGAGAAUGCUUUAGAUCAGCAUGGUUCUGCAUUCUUGAGUCCUGAUCUUUACCAACAAUGCAGAAUCCCCAAGGAAGGCCAGAUAAAGUAAGUUGACUUGGUCUGUUUCGCUUAAUUAGCAUGCAUCCCUUUUUGUUUGUGGUGAAACUGGGUAGUUGUUUACCUUCCUUCUGCCUGAUCAGUGGUGUUGAGACCUGAAUGUAUCUCUUAGAGAUGCUUAUGUGGUUUGGAGCCUCUGAAGAGUGGCAUGAUCAUUCAUCGGAGAGCAAACUGAGUCUUUCUGAAGCUACUUCAAUUCCACCAUCUGUCUGUGGCAUAAUUACAAUGAGCCUGAAAAUCGUGCAUUGGCAUUUGACAUGUAUUUGGCUUCUCGUGUCUCCGUGUCCUGAUAGAGGACUAAUGGCCCCUGAUCCUGCGUGUCUGUAACCUGUCAUUGAACCCUCCAAGUGACCCUCUCUGAAGCCCAGUCCCUCUCAGGCUGGUGUCACCCCUGAACAGUGGCCUGAUGCUGUGUUGGGUCCUUCUCUCUACCUUCUGCCUUCCGCUUGCCUUCGGGUCCUUUCUCUUUUUCAUCUGUCAUCUGGGCUGUCAUUCCUCCCGGGUCCCAAGCUUUCACUUGCUGUCUUUGGCCUUUACUGCCUCCUUUGUUUGCUCUUCCUCUAAGUAGGUCCCUCCCCGUCUGAUGAUCCUGUUUCUUCCUCUAAAUCAUUGGUUAUUGGCUGAUCGACAAUCUGUUACCAGAGGAAAUUUGGCAAUGUCUGGAGACAUUCUUAGGUGUCCCCUCAGGGGCGGGGGUGCCUCACUCACUGGCAACAGGGGCGCCAGAAGCCAGGCCCAGGGCUGCCCCUCCCCCUCGCACAAGGAGGAGCCCAGGUUGAGAAAUCCUGCUCUGAACAGCCCUUAGUCCAUCCCUGCACUCAAUUUUAUUUAUUUAUUUUUUUAAACACCUGUUUCCAAAUCUCAGUUGCUUAACCCCUCCCUCCCCACAUGGCCCUUCGCCUCCUCUCCCAUCUACCCUUAGGGCUCUUUCUUGCCUCCACAGCCUUCUUGAGUCAGCUGCCUUCAGGCCCCUACUUGGUCCCAUCUCCUGCUCCCCAGGCAUCUCCCUCCCCCUCGGCCUUUGUGUUCUGGGCUCAGUUCAGCAGCUACCUUAUCUCUCAGCUGUCCUGGAGUGACCCCAGGAUCUGUGAAAAUAUUUUUCUUAGAAUUCCAUUUAUUUUCCAAGUUUUCACGGAUCCAAAGCAGUCCUUAAGCUCCAUGUUUCUGGUUUCAAAGUCUUUCAAGCAUACCACCUGGGCCUGACCCGUGUGGGUGCUGGCCCUCCGCCCCAUCCUUCCCGCUCCUUCCUGCCGUGCCCCCCUCAGCUGCCAGGUUGCUGGUCCCAGAGGCUGCUCUCCUGCUUUUCUUUGUGAUGAUGACACAUGUGUUUGCUUGCUUUGUUGGCUUGGUGGUACCCGCUCUUCUCCUUCUGCAAGAGAGGGAAGCAAUGUCUUCCCCUACCUUCAUUUACCCUUUAAAAUAACCAGUGGAUAUUGACCAGAUGCUGGGCAGUGCUGGCCAUUGGAGUAACUAGAGUAGAUGAAAGAGAAACUGUCUCCAAACAACUCCAAAUUCUAGAAGAGAGACAAGCAAGAAAAGUAACAAGGUACUGAUGCCCAAACCAGCGCUGCCUGCUAGAAGAGGUCAAGGCUACUGGAGCUGAAGGGGGAGAGCCCUUGUUCCUUAGUUACUGGAACAAGUUACCACAAGUUGAGCAGCUUCCCACAGUGCACAUGUAUCUCACAGCUCUAUAGGUCAGAAGUCCAAAAUCAGUCUAUCUGAGUGAAAAUCAAAGCAUCAGCAGGAUGCAGGAUGGAUUCCUUCUUUUUUUUUUUUUUAAUUAGUUGCUCAUGACAAUACAAUGAUCUUGACAUAUCAUACAUUUGAUUCAAAUGGGGUAUGGAUUCUCAUUUUUCCACGUGUACAGGUUGCAGGAUCACAUUGGUUAUACGGCCACGUAUAUACAUACAGCCAUACUAGUGUCUGUUGUAUUCUGCUGCCCUUCCUAUCCCCCCCUCCCCUCCCCUCCCCUCCCAUCACCUCUCUCUACCCAAUCUACUGUGACACAUUUCUCUCUCUCUCUUUUUGUUUUUCUUCCCCCUCACAUCAUCAAACAUGUAUUUUGUAUAACGAUGAGGGUCUCCUUCCAUCUUCCGUGCAAUUCCCCUUCUCCCUCCCAUUCCCUCCCACUUCUCUUCCCUAUUUAGUGGUAGUCUUCUUCACAGGCUCCACAGGAGGGUCAUUCCUUGAUGUUUAUGGCCUCCCGAGGCUGCCUGCUUCUCAUGACCUCAGCCUCUUCAGCCAGCAGUGUGACACCCUCUAAUCUCUUUUUCUCUGUUGUCCUUGUCACAUCUCCUUCUUGGUCUCUCCUUCCUCCCUUUUUAAAGAAUCCUUGUGAUUACACUGGACCUUCCCCAUAAUCCAGAAAGAUCUUCCCAUCUGAAUAUUCUUAAUCAAACAUGCAAACUCCUUUUGCCAUGUAAGUUUCUGGUAAGAAAGUAGAAUGUGGAUACCUUGGGGGCCAACACCCAGGCUACCAUACACCUCCCAUUGCUUGGGAUGGGGAGGUGACCUCAAGAAAGAGCCCAGUGGAGGCUAAAGAGUAGAGUGAAUCAAGGCUCUGGGACAACAGUCUGACACAGCUGAGACCUGUCAGAAGUUUGACAUGGGGGGGAUGGGAGUGUGUUGGGAGUUAUGUUAGAAAGGAAGGGAGAGGUGAAAUUUGGAGCUUCCCUUGUAGCCCCUGGGAGUCACUGAAGGACUUUGAAAGGUGCUCAGGUGCUGAGUUUCACUUAAAGCUGUGCUGCUCAGUCCGUGAUUCGAGCAACUUGUGGCAGGUGAUCACAGAAAAUAAGGCUAGUCCAAAUAAAGAUGUGUAGUGCAUAUACAAAAUUCCAAAGACAAUAUAAAAAUAUAUAUACAUAAUAUCCUACUGGAUUUUUAUAGAAAUGCUAUUUUGGAUAUAUUGAGUUAAAUACAAUUUAUUAUUAAAAUUGACUUCACCUAUUUCUUUUAUUUUUUAAUGUGGCCAUUGGCAAAUUAAAAUUGCACAUGAGGCUCACAUUACAUUCCUUUGGAUAAUGCUGGUCUAGAAGCUCGGGAGGAAGAUGGAUUGAGGGGUUGAAACUGGAGGGGAAUGGGCUGGACAAGAAGUGACAUGGGCUUUACUGGGACGGAGAAGGGGAGGCACGGGAAUUCUGGGAGGGUCUGGGGCAGGACCAGGUCCCAGCAACAUCUACUCACCAGCGCUGUGGGGAUGAAGCAGGUGGUCUGCAUGUUCCUCCUCAACCCCAGUCCUCGUGGGGCACCUUUUUCAAUCUGACCUGCUCCUUAGAAUUAAGCACCUGGCACACAUUUCCCUCUGUGGGGGCUGGGAGACAUGGGAGUGACACCCUUCUCUGUCAUACUCAAACACUGCCCUUCCUCACAGUCUGUCCACCCUUCCUGCCAGCCACCCACACGUCUCUUCCUUGGCCAGUAUGCAUCCUAGGAUUCGGAGUUAUGUGAGGCCACCUAGUUGUAGCCGUGAAAACCAGCCCCCCUCCACCUUCUCUACAGUUCUCCAGGUGCUCCUCGGGACCUCAUGCCAAUAAAACACUUUUAGGCCAUGUCUGGAUGUGCCCAAAUUUUCUGAGUCUGGUUCCAGGGGACAUUCUUCAUUAAGUUCUCAUACGUAUGCUGAAAGGAAAAAAGCCAUUCUGCAAGGCAGGCAUCGUUACUGCCAAUUUACAAAUAACGCGCAAACACACCGAGGAAGAUUCUGUCACACCCUAGUUGAUACAGUUGGUACUAGAACUUUUACCUCCUGGAUUCCAACUCUGCAUUUUUUGUGUUUUGGGGUUUUUGCUGUUGUUUUCUCAGGAUACUUGUUGGUCCUACCUGGCCCCAUAAUAUUGAAUAACAGUGAAAUUAUGAUGCUUUUCAAGUAUUUUUAAUCAGUGUCUUGAUGUCUAUCAAUCUGAUAUUAUGAACUCUGCUGCUGUUCAAGAACUUUUUGUCAAUCAUUCCUUAAAUGUUUGUGGUAUGAAUGGAUAGUGAAUGAAAAAUUUGUACUGUCUAAAAACACAGGGGAUAUAAAGCAUUAAGAAAAAGUACUCAGAAGGCACUUUCUGAAAGUUCCCUGGGGUGAGAAGUUGUGGCGGGUUAGAGCAGGUUUAUCCACUUCCAGGUUUAUCUAAGACUGCAGGAUGAAAGGAUCCCAUUAAAGAUAAGCAUGGAACUGCUGCUGACCAAGACUGGUUGCCUUACACCACAGAGGGAAGCGCUGAGGCUCUGAGCAGUAGCAUAUUUGUGCUUCAGCCUUCUCAAGGUUGCAGUGCCUGAGUGCAACCAAACCUUAACCUGAACUGAUUAGUACAGGUGCAAACAGAGUAGUGGCAGUCUGGGAUUCAGUAUCCAAUAGAGGGAGGAAAGUUGUGUUAAAGUAGCUUUAGUGCUCUAGAGAGACCCCAGGUGUUAGAGAUGACAAAGGAGCCUGAAGCCUCAUCUAGGAAUUAGUUGCAGUUGAUAGCAACUAAUAACAUAAUGAUUGGGACUCAGAUUCUAGGUCAGGCCAACCUGGCAGGUCACUUAGUCUCUCCACUGUGCCUCUGUUUCCUUAUCAGGAGAAUGGGAAUAAUAGCCAUGUCUUCUUUCAAUGCUUGUGUGAGAAUGGGGUGGUGUGGUGCAUUUAAAGCUCAUAGAGGGGCUGAGGCUGUGGUCCAUAGUAGAGUGCUUACCUGCCUGUGCUAGGCCUGGGGUCAGUCCCCAGCACCAUACGCAUGCACACACACACACACACACGCAUGCAUAGUGUCUGGCACAUAAUAAAUAUUCAACUGUGUGUUAUUCUUGUUAUUAUUAGGAUGCAGUGCUUAAGCAGAGAAUCUUGCCUUAUUAAGCUUCAAAAUAUUUCCAGGUGUUUUUUAAAGAGACAAAAAAAGCUGUUUUCCAAAUCAUACAUAGAACGAGUGAAUGGAUGGGUGCACAAUAAUUGUGAUUUGCAAAAGUUUUUGCAGUUUGCCAUUUUGUCAAGGUAGGUGACGGUGGGGUGCAGCAGUCAUCAGAGACUCCAGAUGCAUCAGGAAGAAGAUCUGGCAGGGGAGCUUUAUGAGCAGCAAAGAAAAUCUGUGGCAGGGCUGGGGGGCCCUCAGGUUCUCUCCUAGCUGCUGCCUUUUUGUCUGGAACUCCACCAUGAAGUGGUCGUUUUCAAUCAGAGCAAGCAGUCCUGAGAGGAGUUUCUUUUAAAGCCAUUAUCGGUCAUCUUUGGCUUAUUAAGAAAGAAGGAUCUGGGAGCUUGAGCCAAGAAAGGAAAGAGCCAGAAAGCUUAUUUAUUUUUCUUGAAACCUCCAGGGUAGAGCUUGCUGGUUGAUGUCUGCAGGCAAUUGGUAUUGAAUGAGUGAGUGAACAAAUGAAUGGUGGGCAGCCCUUCCACGCGGGGAUGCUGCACGGCAAGACGCAGGGAUCUGCGGUGCCCAGUCACCCGUCCCACCCCAGCCAGUCCUCCUAUCUAAGAUCCCUCUUUUACCGAUGAAUGAACUGUGAAGUGAAGUGAUCCAGUUGGACUCAAACGACACUUGGUGGAAUCGGUCACAAGAAUCCAGGCAAACCACAUUGCUGCCCCUCCCUUUCUACCAGCACGAGAGAAAAACCCUCGGAAAAAGACCACUUGUAAUUGGAGAUUCCUGCAUUUGACCUCAAAGCACAAAACACCCAGGACUCUGAUGAGUGGCUGUAUGGCUAGUGACAGCUCCGUAGCUCUGUAUUUAUUUAUUUCUCACUUCUUGCAAAAACACUAUCAACAUUCAAUCACAUCUCAAAGGAAAGGGCCAGAAGGCAAGUGGUUGGAACUACCUCAACCAAACAGUCCUUGCCUGGGAAAGCUAUCUUCUUUCUCUUGGAGCCAAACUGUUGUUCUCAAUGCUGUGAGCAAUUAAUAAAUCAGAGUGGGCUGAGUAGCAUGGUUGCCACGGGAAAUUCUCUACCCAUCAGGUGGCAUCAGACAGCCUCAGCUGAAGUGCAGACACCUGGGAAAGCAGCAUCCGCUGCCCCUGACAGGAGACCUGCACGACAUUAUGGAACUUGGAGCCUGCAGUAACUAUUUUGAGGCUGCCAUUAUUUUUCUUCCAGCAUCAAUUCUCUGAAAUUCAAGGUCAAGAGCUACAUUUGGGGGGUUAUAAGGAAACAGCAGGAUUUGCCAUAAGCCUUCAAAAUGCUAUCAUUCCUGCGAGGGUAACUUCCAUAUGGAAGACUGAAUAUUAGAAAGCUGUUUUUUCUCCUGAGAUCAAAUUGAGACCCAAACACAUUUGAGAACCCUAAUGCUUUCCCCCCAAGCAUUUAUCACCUCAUUUUUUCCCCACAAGAAGGACCUUUUCCCUGUGGCUGUCUGGAUGUCCCUGAGAGGAUUUCCUGUUGGUGAUACCACUAUCUAUGGCCAGGAUGAGGUGCUGGUGCCAGAAUGAGGGUUACACACACAUUCUUUGCAGCUCUGGGAAGUGAAUUUGCUCCCUGUGAGAACACAGAUUGCCUGGUGUCCUCUCAAGGUUGAGCUUGUGCCCCACCAUGUCUCCAAAUCAACUGUUCACUACAUCCCAAGUGCUGUUCAAAUGAUUUGCUAUUCUGUCUAGUCCUCAUACUAAGCCUGGGAGCUAAGGGGUAUUAUUCCAUUUUAUAGACGAAAAAGUAGAGACAUGGGAAGGGCAGUCACUAGUCCAAAGCCACAUGGCCAAAAAGUGGGGGAGCCUGGAAUCCAGCAAACUGCUCUGGAUGAGCCCAUGUUUAGCCACCACCCUGCCUGGCUGGUCCAGCCUCUUAGCUAACGGGGCUGUUCAGCAGAGUCACUGUCUAGGCUUCUCUCCUCAUAGAGAUCUUGUCUGGAUUUCUCACUGUUGUUCCACUCAUAGGUCCAUCUCACUCCAGCCCUGGGAGACCCACAGUGGCCUGAGUCAUGCAGCUGGGCAGCCUUGGGCAUUCCUACAAACGGGCUGUGGGCUUCCCCUAAGCAAGGAGGAAAUGAAUCAGUGGCUCAUUCAGCAUAAUCUCCUGCAGCAAUUUCUUACCAUUCACAAUUAGUUGGCCAAUGGGGUGGUUCAUGUCACCAAGUUUCUAAGAGCAGUCCCUUGUGACCAGGCAGCUCUAGGGAGCUCUGUGACCCGGGCCACGUGUGUGAUUUCAGGUGGCCAUAUUGCAAAUUCAUAGAGCUGAGAGGAAUCUUGUGAGCAAAUUGGAAAUGCAUGGCUGCAAACAUCACCACAACCAGAAGAACAGCUUCAAGGGUGAGCAGAGGCAAGGGGUGUACAUGCAAGCCAAAGAAGGACGUGUUACUCCACAGUUUACAAGAACAAUUGCAGGACCACUUAAAGUUUGCCUGAACCUGAACCCCAAGUUCAAUGUUUAAGAGAAGGAUGCCUAUACGUUCUUUGAUUAUUUCACUUAGGCCCUGUGUGCAAUGGGUUCCCAAUGAAUAACUAUUGAAUAAAGAAGGGGAAAGAUUUACUUAGUGCAUUGUGACAUUCUUCGUGUAGGAUGUAUAUUUCCUAUUUGUUAAAUGAUUCCACCAUGGUUGAAAGAAGGGAUGAGAGGAUACUCAUUUCACAUGUUAGUCAUGAAACUAUUUGCAAAAUUUUACUGUCAUUGCUGUCAUAAGCAAGACCAGCUCUUCCAGGUAUGAAAGCUGAAGGCCCAUGUCCACUGCACCAGCUCCGCUAGUCCCACUUGGGCUGAAGCCACAUUCCCCCUCAGCUGUGCUGCGGACUGUAACAUAGGUCACCUGCCUUGUUCCACCUUCUGUUUUUUUAUUUACUGGUUCUUUUCUAUCAACUGAGUUUCUGAGGAUUUCCAGCUAUAGCUAGCUUUCCUAAGAAACCCAGUAGCAGGGAUCAACUGGGUGUGUAGGGACCCUAGACAAAGGACUUAGCAGAAUUCCAGAAAUAGAAAUAGUUAACAGGAUUGUACCAUGGAAAUCAAAAUAGCUCAAAGAGAGGAUCUGAAUGUUCUCAUCACAGAUGAUGAAUGUUUGAGAUGAUGGAUAAUCUAAAUAUCCUGAGUUCAUCAUUACACAAUGUACACAGUUACCAAAACAUCACACCAAACCCCAUAAAUAUGUAUAAUUAUCUGUCAAUUAAAAAAAAGAAAUGGGUGGUGAGCUAGGCAGAGAACUGACCCCUACCCCGGCAGGGCUGUGAAUGCUGGCUCACUGCAUGGGCAGAGGCUGAGCAGACAUUUAGAGAUGAGAGGCCACAGCUCAGUGUGCAGACCCUGCUAAGGGUGACAUGGGUCAACACACACUCUCUGAAUCAGGACCAGUGCUCAUGGCUCCACAGUCAUUGAUUCCUCCUGUAACUAACAGAGAGCUUGUAAGUUCCCAGCCCUCGAUUCCAGCACUCUCUGAAGCUCUUUGCUGCUCAGUUGCCUCACCAGACCUUCCCCAUCUGCAGGAAGGAAAAGGAAAUAGAAUUAAAAACCCAUCAGCCGCUUUCCCUAUUGGCACAGUUUCACGGGAAGGCGGAGUGGGAGAGGACCUUGGAAGUGAUGGCUUAAUGAGGUGUUGUGGUUGUUGGAGGUGGCCUGGUCCCCGCUGGGAAGUUACUGUAAUCCAGGAGAGGUCUGCCAGAGGCGAUGGUGAGCCCCAAAGGGCAGGACGGGUGGGAGGGAGGCACCAGUGUGCUCUGUACUGAGCGUCUCUUUGCAGGCAGCACCUCUUCUUAGGGAGGCCCUGGCCUCAAAGUUAAGGGUCGAAGUAACACAGACCUUUCAUGAGUAACAGAAAAGAAUGGCAUCUUGCCCAUUCUCUGUGGUCAACAGCUUCCAGGCUGAAUGUCACUCCCCCACCCUACCCCCCCGACAUGGAACAAUGGUUAAAAGCCUGGAAAAAUAAUUUAAGGGUGAUGAUAUUAAUAAGUCAUUCUUCCCCGUCUCCCUCAUCCCCCAUCAAUGAAUGUUAUCCAAAUGGUUUUCCAACACUUCAUAUAAUUCAAUUGUGAGGGUCAGCUGUGUGGCUCUUUUAUUUUGCUUGUAGAUGGAGUGUUUCUGUACCUAUGUUGCAUAUUUAGAAAAACAUUUUUUUUUUGAGAGAAACAGACUGUCCUCACAGCAACUCACUUUUGCAGAGUUAAAUCUCAGUAUUCUGACCUCAAAAUAUGUUUCGGUCGUCAUCUCCCUGGCCAAGGUUACUUAUUCAUCUUCCUCUAGGCUCCCAAAAUAUUUUCUUGGAAUGUGCUCACGGAGGCAGGGCGUGGGGUUGGUGUUGAUAAUUCCACUUAAUCCUCAUUCUCAUACGGAACACAUGCAAUGAUCACUUUCCAUAGGAAGAAUAGCCGUGCAUGUGAGCAGGGCCUGGAGGGAUGCAAGGGAGGCGCUUGGCACCCCAACAUCUCCAGCCUGCGUCCAGCUUAGAAGUCUUGGCUUUGUGAGGAUGGGCUGAGGAGCAGGGGCUCCAUCCCACAGACGCAUCUCAGCCUGUCCUUCAGGAGCUGCAAGUUCAGUCCAUACCUGGCCUGCAGCAAUGACCUUAUGGGAUCGAACAUAACGAUGGCAGAGACAAGGACUGAGGCUCUCAUCAGACGAUUACUGAGCACACAACUGAGCUCACCCUUGGAUCGUGAUGAAUUCUGGAAUGAGCAUUGGCUAGAAACACAGUCACAGAAUGUCUCCAGAAAAGACAGAAGAGACCGCUUAUGGAUGCUAUUUAGAGAAAGAGGAAUAAACCAGACCUUGCAAGAAAGAACACCUUCUGGAAUCACCCAUGGUUCAUUCCCAUGCUUGUGCACUUUUCUGCCUGGAGCCACAGACAAGCAACUAGACCUCUCGUUCUCCUCAUCUUUAAGAUGUAGAUGAGAACGAGUCCCACUGUAUAAGGUUACUGUUCCAAAUAGAUGGAAACACUGCAGGACAGGCUACUGGGCAUAUCUAAUUGUGCUCAAUAAACUCUAUACAUGUUACUGUGAAUUUGCACGUAAUGACUAGAAAUUAUAAAAGGCAUCCUGAUUUUACCCAGCACUUUAGGAUCAUGAGAAAGUCAUAUCUCUGUGUCAGAUUUUCCUUUUAGAAAACAACGUACCUACUGCAAGGACAGGGCAAUGAAUCAAAUGGCAUUCAGAUAGUGCUUUCAAUUCUUCUGAGAGGCAUACUAUCUAUCAACAUAAAAUGUCAUUAUGUUCCCUCAUCAGUCACUCCUGACAUAAAGGAAAAUAACCUGAAGAGAAACUUUAACCUUCUCAAGUAUCUUUGUUGAACUUGUUCUAGGAGUAUUUUAUAAAUCUGUUUCACCAGUGGGUUUAUUUUACAUACUAAAAUUUCUUCAUACCACCAGGGAUAUUCUAUAAGCGUAAAUGAUUGAAUAAAGCACGUACAGCUCAGCCACAGACAACGUCUGUCUGUAAUUGAUUUAUUACAUGACAAUCAAUCAGAGCUUUGGGGUUUAUAUGAAUGCUUUCUGAAAGCUCCUAGUGGCCAAUGAUUACUUAUCAGGAAUGAUGAAGAGAGCAAAUAAAAGAAAACCCAGAAUUGAAAUGUGCUCUUUGGUGAUUCAGGACACUGCCAAUUGGCCUGCACUUGAAAUACACUAAGGCAGACUUUUCUAAUCAAGCCGCAUUCUGGGAAAUAUCUUCUUCUCUUUUGGCUCAUUUACAACUGAGAUGGACUCAAUUAGCCAAAUCGCACAUCAUGUGAGGAGUUAGGAAAAUUUGCCCUUUGUGGCCGUAUCUCCGUAUAUCACACACCACUGUCACACCGGGUCAUAUCAUUAACGUUGAUAUUCAGGGGAAGUAGGGAAGUGUCCAGAAAGCAAUAAUUAACUCUUGAGCUUACCUUACUGGUGGUCAUCAUCUGUAGAUGCCAGGCUCUCCGAAUGUUAACAUGUACUCUUGAAUUUUGGAACUUAAACGGAUGUGUUGUUAAGUGACCAAAGGGGAACUUUCCAUUGUUAUGUUAAUUCAAGCCAUUCCACAAUUGCAGAAACAUGUUUUCAUUAUUUAUUCACUGUUUCCAGCUAAGGAGUAAAAACAAGUGCUCAUGGGGUAUGGCAAGUACUAAGGACUUCAACUUUUUAUUUCCUGGUGUUAGGGGUUGAAUUGCGUCCUUCAAAAAAGAUAUGUUGAAAUCCUCACUACCCACCCCCUCCCCGUACUUCAGAAUGAGACUUUAUUUGGAAAUUAAGAUCAAGCCAUACAGAAGUAGGGUGGGACCUUAGCUCAAUACGAAUGGUGUCCUUAUGGAGAGGAGUAAAGACACACAAGGAGAGACAGCCAUGUGCUGACAGGGGCAGAUUAUAGCCAUGCAACUACAAGCCAAGGCCUGCCGAGGAUUGCCAGAAAAUACAGGAGCUAGAAGAGGCAAAGAAGGAUUCUUCCCUCUGGCUUCUCAGGGAAUAUGCCCCUCCGACACUUUGAUUUUAGUCUUCUGGCCUCUGCAAGUGUGAGACAAUAAAUUUCUUGUUGUUUUAAGCUGCCAAGUGCAUGGUACUCUUCUGUGUAGGCAGUCCCAGGAAACUAAUGCACCUGGUUUGCACAUUUCUGUUUACUCUGUUCAAUGUCAGUGUGUAGAACAUGAAGCUAGUCAUGGUGAAUAUUCAGAACUUAAUCCUUAAACCAUUUGUAUCUGCUUGCACUUUGGGCCUCAUCAAUACACAAGUAUUGCCACAUCUGAAGUGGUCAACCAGAGGAAUAAAUACGCAGGGCUCUUUAGAACUCUAUAGGCAGCCCUAAAAGUACUUAUAAUGGAAAGCAGUUGCCAUUUGCAAACUGACAGAUUUCUUGAUUUAAAGCCUUAAUAUGUCUCUUUGUCUAGCUAUAUAAUAGCCAAGUGGAAUAUUCAUCAUCCUGUCGGUCCUUAGAAGAAAAUCAUUGGAAAGCUGUAUUACUUUUAGUUUCAGAAUAAUAAAUAAGCCAGGUACAAACUUUUAAAGAAUUAUUGUUAAAAAAGAAAGAAUUAUUGUGACUGCUGGCCCUGGUGGAUUCUGGCUCCUGUCAUAAUUCACCUUACUCACUUAAUAAAGUUUUAGUCACUGUUUUUACUAGUAAAAAUUGUAUAAGCAAAAUUUUAAUCAAUAUCUGAGAUAUACUCCCAUUUUUUAUUAUUUGAUUUUUAAAAUAUACAUAAUAAAUACAUUAACAAGGAUAAAUAGUUUAUCUUUUUAGACUAACAAAGAUAAAUAGUUUAAACAAGUGAUUGGAUAGAGGAUGGCUAUGUGUUGCAAUAUUUGACUGCUGUGAACAUUUGUUUGUGAAAUAUACUUUAUGAUAUGGGAAAUGCUUAUUUGUAUUUUGGUGAGAAAAAUCAGGAUGAGAAAUCCAUGUGUGGUGUGAUCUCAAUUAAGUGAAACAAAAUCUAUACAGAAAAAAAAAUGUUAACAGAGAUUACAAUUGUGUUGUGGGAUUUUUUUGUUUUUACUUUACAAUCACAUUGGUUUUAUUUUCCUUUUUUUCACACUUUAUUUAAUUUUAAUUAACAUGGAUUCUAAGACAUGCCAUCCAUUGGAGAAAAGAUAGCCUCUUCAACAAAUGAUGCGUUGUAGGAUUUUAAACAAGUUUUGUGCUUUUCAUUAUUUUUCAAAUUCUCAACAUAGACAAAAGUUUCUUCUAUAAUCCAAGGCCAAUUUAAUACUAAAAGUAAAGGCACCCAAGCAUAAAUAGUAAUUAUCUGUAGACUGUUAUAUCAUGGAUAAUUUUUUUUUCUUUAGCUUAGUGUUUUCUGCUUUCCAUAUGUUCUAAUGUAAGAUGAUUUUAAAUUUCACAAUGAAAGAAAAAAAAUAAAAUUUUAAAAACCUAACCAUAGUGGGUGUUUGCAAGAUUUCAGAAGUGCUUUACACCGUCCCCUUAAACUUUCAAGGUGCCACCAUAAUACCUAUUGUAGAUGGCAUAAUGUUCCCAAUUCUUCCCCUCCCCUAUUUCCACACUCUUUGCCAAGUGAUUUUGCAGAGAAUAUUCUUCCACUGUGUGGAUGCCGUGCUCGGCAUGUGACUUGCUUAGGGCAGUGAUGUGGGCAGAGUGACAGUGUGCCAUCUGGGAGCCUAGGCAUAAAGAUGCACGACACGUGCACAUGACCUGCACAUCUGCCAUAAGAAAAGCCUCUCAAGAGUAGCUGCCGCUCUUUCAGCCUGGGCAAAGGAGUACAUGUGGAGCAAAUCCAAGUCAAACCCCAGGGACUAGCUGAGCCCAGCAAGAAUGGCCGCCAGACGCAGCACCCCCUCUAGGUCUAGCCUGGAGCAGGUCAAGACCAUGACAGCAAAUGUCAAUGGAUAAAAACUCCUGAGUUCUGGGGUGGUUUGUUAAGCAGCAAAAAAUGUCACUGACAAAGACACAACACUGUUUUGUAUAAACAGCCCAUUAUGAGGAUUCCUUUGUUCUUAUAUUACAGCCUAAAAAUAUACAUAGCCGUGUAUUACCCCCUGAAUCUUUUUUUAAUUUUUUUUUAAAAUUUUUAAUUUUUUUUUUUAGUUGUAGAUGAACACAAUACCUUUAUUUUAUAUAUUUGUGUGUGGUGCUGAGGAUCGAACCCAGUGCCUCACAUGUGCUAGGCAAGUGCUCUACUACUGAGCCACAACCCCAGCCCCUACCCCCUGAAUCUUGAGGAAGUGGUUUGUAUAUUUAUGUCAGUUUCCAAAGUAUAUCAAAGUAUUUAUGUGGCCACAUGACUGAAUCCUAUGACCCCCAUGUACCACUGUAUUCAUAUUUGGUUGUCUCAUCUGUCCUUCAUUUAAGCCCAUUAACUAUACAUUGUUCACUUGGUCAUUCUGGUUCCCAUUGAAGAAUAGUGUUUUGAGCUAUAAUCCUAAAGUUUUAUUUAGAAACUCACUUUAGGAAUUCUAAAACUAUUAAUCAUGCUGCACUGUUCUUUGGUAUGUAUACUGACAUUAUCUCUCUUUUUAGACCAGGGUUUCUCAACCUUGGCACUAUGACACUUUGAGCCAAAUAAUUGUCAUGGAGGUUGUCCUGCGAAUGACAAGAAGUUAAGCAGAAUCCCUGGCCACUACCACUAAAUGACAGUAGUGCAAACCCCUGCCCCAUUAGUUAAUCAGUGUUUCCAGAUAUUUAUAAAUGAUCCUGGGGAGCAAAAUCACUCUGAGUUGAGAAAUGCUUUUUCAGAAAAAAUGGGGAUUCCAUUUGGUUAAGUUGAACUUACAAUGGUGGAGGUCAUCUGGAUAUAGUUUAAGGUCUAGUCUUCCUCAUAACAAUUCAGCCUAUAUUAAAAAGAGCAAGAUCUUAAACUCCUAACCUCCAGAACUUCUGAUGUUUGUGGUAAAAAUAAAUAUAUUAUCUUUGAAGGUUGUAAGCAAAACCCAAAAGGUAUUAUUGACCUGGCAGGUAGAUUUUCUAAAUUCAUCUGCAAUUACUCUGAAGCCAGAAUAAAAACCUCCCUGUUAUACACACACACACACACACACACACACACGAAUCAGAAGCAUAGAGGGACAGGCCACACCAUGGGUAUUAUUUUUUAGGGCACAACAUCACAGCCAGCUUAGCACUUCAUAAAAAAAAGAAGAGGGAAUGGCCAAAUUUAACUACAAGUGAGGAACUUCAAAUACCACCAUACUCAGAGAUUCCAUUUCUAUCAAACAAAGGAUGAAGCAAAAAUUUAAUUUCCUGACAGUUUAAUAUGCUUCAGCAGGAAUGUGAGCAAGUGCCAGUUAAGUGCUGAACCUGAAUAUGGGACAUGUGUUUAAAAUAAAUGUCAGAAAAGAGUUUGUAUUCACGAUUCUGUCCUUUUCAGUGGAACUCAGAUAUGCUUGAACUACCUUAACCUUGAAACACCCAUAAAAACUUUUCAAAUCCACAGUGCAAAAUUGAGUUUGGAGACAUCCAUCAACAUGACCUGUGCCUUGGUUUCCUCAUCUGAACAAUGAGAAUAUUGAACAAAAUAGGGUCUGUAGCCCCAUUGGCUACAGCAUUCUUUGAAUUAUGUGAUAGUUCAUUAGUCAGUGCCGGUUAAAGCUUACCCAACAGAGGAGUUAGGAGGUUGGUAUUGGGGAGUUUUUCAUAAGAUUUGGCUUAUAGUUAAGCAGUUUUCCCAGGAAGGUUUUCACACAAAGCUGCAAACCAUAAACCCAGCAGAGUGAUCCAUUCUCAUUAGAGGCCCAUCAGGGAUCCAGUUAAGAGGCAAUAGGGGGGCCUGGGGAUGUAGCUCAGUUGGUAGAGCACUUGCCUAGACUAUGCAUCGGCCCUGGGUUCAGUCCCUAGUACUGCCCCAAAACAAAGGAGGCAAUAAGAGGGUAGAGAGAAGAGCCAGUGAUUGGUCACUGGAAAAUCAACAGAUAUUAAGAAAAAUAUGCCCAAGGAUGUAGGCAGCCACUGAGGAGGAGAGUUAGAAGCUGGCAAGGCAGAGCUGUGAAGUUGCACAAGCUGGACCCGGAGAAGGUGAAAUGGAAUGAGGACCUGAUCUCCUUCACUCUCCUCAUCUACGUCACCCAGCUUCUAGUCAUUCUGUUUGUCUUUAAAAACUUGGACAGGGACUGGGGUUGUGGCUCAGUGGUAAUGCGCUUAAGCAUGUGUGAGGCACUGGGUUCAAUUCUCAGCACCACAUACAAAUAAAUAAAAUAAAAGUCAUUAACAAUAAAAAAUAUUUUUAAAAAACCUGGACAGCAUAUGAAGAUUGGGCAUCUGUGCACACAUGAUACAAAGAACCUGGUUACAGUUUCUCCUCCCGCAUGCAAAGUGUAAGAAAGGUGUAAGAAUCCGCUUGAAUGAAUGGAACUAAAAAUUAUUCUUGUUAAGGGCAACUUUGGCUAAGGUACCUGAACUUCACAGCUAAAAUAUAAAGCCAGGAAGUAUGAAAAGAUGUCUUGUGGUCCUCGUGAGCCCUCAUGCUUGUGAUAUUCAGUCUUCAUGAAGGUUGGUGUAAUUGUAUAUAAUGUCAAACUCCAUUUUCUACCAAGUAUUAAUUAUAAGGGGAUUAUGUCUGAAAGGACACUGUCUUGUUGGUCAUUUCUGUUUAUGCUUUUACUUCUGUCCAGAGUGUAUUGUAAUUGUAAGAGUCCCUUACAAUUAUGUCUUACGAAGUCAGCACACAUCCACGAUGACAUUUAAUCACAGGACCAUAAGUCGUAUUUUUAAGAAAUAUACCAAUUAAGGGGGAAAAAACAUGCCCCCCAAAAGACAGAUAAAGUAGACGAGGAUUGCAUCAGUAUUCAUACCACUAAGUUACAAAAUAAGAAAGAAACUUCAGAGAAUUAUGCUAGGUGAUCAGGACUGAUUUCUACAACCCCUAACCCAUUAUUGGAUUUAUUAGUUAAGAAUAUUUGUGAUCGGGGCUGGGGAUGUGGCUCAAGUGGUAGCUCGCUCGCCUGGCAUGCGUGCGGCCCGGGUUCGAUCCUCAGCACCACAUACAAAGAUGUUGUGUCCGCCGAAAACUAAAACAAAUAAAUAAAUAAAAAUAAAAAAAAAUUAAAAAAAAGAAUAUUUGUGAUCAAUUUAAAGAAAGAAUUUUCUAUAGCAUUUAUCAAAAAGUGGUGGGAAAUUAUAUUUUUACUAGGAGUUUUUUUUAAUGUUAUUGUUGUUUGUUUGUUUACCAGAGAUUGAACCCAGGGGCCCUUACCCACUGAGCCUCAUCCCCAGCCCUUUUUAUUUUUAUUUUGAGGCAGGGUCUCACUAAGUUGCUUAGGGCCUCACUAAGUUGCUGAGGCUGGCUUUGAACUCGUGAUCCUCCUGCCUCAGCCUCCCGAGCCAUAGGGAUUACAGGCUUGCACUACCAUGCCUGACAAAGAAAGAAUAUUCUAUAGCACUUAUCAAAUAGUAUUUCUACUAUAAGGUAUUCUUUAUUGGUUCUAAUACAUGUUGGGUGGGGAGAGGAGCACCCUGACAGACAACAGAGAGAAAAAAUGUCCUUUCUCUGGGGUGUACAUCAGCUAAGAGCCAGGUAGCCUCCAGGGCUACCCUCUUGAGAGAAAUGUCUCAGGUCCACCUCUGUGCCAGGAACUGAUUCUGUCACCAUCCAUUACCAACAGGAUACAUCACAAAAGCACCCACUGCCUCUCCUGCCCCUCCACGCCACCCCUCACUUCUUCAGGGAGGAAGGACUUAUAAACACUGCUCUUACUGCAUAAGAUUUGUUUACUUAGAAUGAAGAUGUUGUCACAGAAUUUCAACUCCUAAUUUAUUCAUUAUUUUACUCUCUUCCAACUCUACCGCAAGGGAAUUAGAGUUUGUAUCCAAUUUGUGUUUGAAAUUUUUUAAAAAGAAAAUUAAACACAAAUAGUCUGAUCAUGGGGAAGUGACCUGAAGGAGGCACUGAGAAUCCUUCCCGAUGCGUGUUGGACUGGGCGCAUUCUUGUCUCUUACAUACAUACCAGAGGUACUUUAUUUAGUUUAAGUGAAUGGAAAGAUCCAUCCACGCUCCAGCACUUGGAAAGAAUUGUUACUCGAAUUGUUUGUUCCCAUAAACAACUCAACUUCUUGUUGCUCAAUAAGAAUCAAAACCGACAGUUUGUAAAAACCAGAAAACAUAAAACCUUGGACUGCGUUUAAGGGCUGAUUGCUAUUUCCAGACUCUUAUGAGGAUCCUGGGGGAAAAGCCUAUUUAGGAUUCCACAAUGUCAGUGAAAAAUAUUUCUCUGGAAAACCUGCUACAAAUUGGCCCAAAGUUUUUCCGAUUCCAAUUCCAGUUUGUAUCUAUUGAAAAAUUUUGGGCCCAUGAAGCAGCAUUAGUGGAACUAAGCUCACAUCACUGUAGCUCAAAAACCCAAUAGGCGUUAACUCUGCAAAUAACAGUAAGACCGGAUAAAAUGUCAAGGAUUUGCCAUUGAAUCCUCUUAACAAUGGACCAGGAGCAUAGUUUAAAGAUACACUGGAUUGAAGUGGACUUUAGCUAUGUCUCUCCAGGUCAAAUAAAGAAGACCUUUGAAUUAAGUGAUUGACAGAACAAUGCAGCCAGGAGAACUUCCUCUAAAGAAGACCUCUCUGUGAAGAUACUGGAAUAUGAAUGAGGAAGACACAUAAAUAAUGGCAGGGACUGGUGGUAGACAAUGUCCCAAAAUGGGCCCCCAAGACUUCCUUUCCCAAUGCCUGGAACUGUACUAUGACGUCAUACAUAAGCUUAAGUUAUGCAAAAGAUAGCAGAUGUAAUUAAGGUUACUAAUCAGUUGAGCAUGAGCUAAUCAAAAAGAGAUGAUCUAGAAAUGUCCAAUGUAAUCACAUGAGCCCUUAAAAGUGGAGAGGCUUCUCUGACUGAUGGCAGCAGGGAAAUCAGAGACCAGAAAUUCUGGGUGGACUAGACCCAUAGCUGUGAGCCGGGAGAUGGAAGGAUCCUUCCUAAGCAAAGGUGGAAUUGCCUAGAGGAUCCAACAGUGACCCCAGUUGACAGUCAGCCUAGAAAUGCGGAUUUAGUUCUCUAUGUGCAAAGAACUAAAUGCUAACAACUUGCAUGAGUUUGGAAACAGAAAAUCCCCAAGAGUCCCCAGAUUAGAGCCCCACCUGGCCAACAUCUUGAUUCUAACCUAAGCAGUGAAGCCAGCAGAACCCACUCAGAUAUCUGAUCUACCAAGCCCCGAGGGAAAAAAGGCAGUUGUUCUCCAGCAAAAGAAAAUGGAGGGAAUAGGAGAGAAAAGGGAAAUUGCAUGGAAAUGGAAGGAGACCCUCAUUGUUAUACAAAAUUACAUAUAAGAGGUUGUGAGGGGAAUGGGAAAAUAAACAAGGAGAGAAAUGAAUUACAGUAGAUGGGGUAGAGAGAGAAGAUGGGAGGGGAGGGGAGGGGGGAUAGUUGAGGAUAGGAAAGGUAGCAGAAUACAACAGUCACUAAUAUAGCAUUAUGUAAAAAUGUGGAUGUGUAACCUAUGUGAUUCUGUAAUCUGUAUUUGGGGUAAAAAUGGGAGUUCAUAACCCACUUGAAUCUAAUGUAUGAAAUAUGAUAUGUCAAGAGCUCUGUAAUGUUUUGAACAACCAAUAAUUAAAAAAAAAAGAAAAGAAAAUGGAUAUGGGACUCUUGGCAAAGUUUGGAUACCAGCUCUAAAUUUUGGCUAUAUGCUAUAUAUAUAUCACCUAGGACAGGCAUCUUUGUUAUUUAAAAAUUUUUAUCAUGGAAAAGUUUAACCACACAUUUACCAUCUGUUAUCCAUUUGGGAAGUGGUGAGGGAGAGAAUUUAAAAUCAAAUCAAAUUGUGGCUGAGGGACAAUCGGAAUCGGCACCACCUGGGGAACAAACUGGAAACUAGACCCACUGAUUUAAACCCUAUGGGGCCCAAGAAGCUGUCAGCAUCACCCAGACUCUAAAGCACUGGCACCUGCUAACACCCUAACUGGAAGCCUCACCCCAGCACCCAGCCUGCUGCUCAGAACCUUGAUGGCUAAGGAUCUACACACCAGUCACUCCACCCCUCCCUUCCCCCCACCAUCCUCACACCUAGGGGAGAGAGCAGGUUUGGGUGGGAAGUGUCAGAGUGCAGUUCUGGGGACAGUGUGGCCGUCCCUGAGGGUGGCCUCAGGAGUCGGAAUGCCUGGCCUCCAGCCCCAGCUCUGCUGCGUUGAGCUACUUGAGUGAUCUUGGGCACGUUACCUGGAUGCCUUAAUUGUCCUAUGUGGAAAACAUAGGUGAUAAAGUGACCCACCUCAUAGAGGAGUGAGGAUGAAAUUAGUAAAUACAACUGAAGUUCUUCCAAGUGCCUGGUGCACAGUAAUCCCUCAAGGUGAGGGAGAGUAUUAACAUUUCUAGGGACAGGGGCUGGAUGUAGCUCAGAAACUAGAGUACAUGUGUGCUGUGCUGCUCAAACAAAACAAAACAAAACAAAAGUUGUUCUUUUGGCCUACUGUCCAAAUCCACUUACCUCUUCGUCAGACACUACAUUAAAUAUUCCAGGUGUGGGCUAGGGUUGUACUUCAGUGGUAGCGUGCUUGCCUAGCACACAAGAGGCCCUGGAUUAGAUCCAUAAUACUGAAAAAAAAAGUAAAGAAAUAAUUUUUUUUUAAUUCCAGUACAUGCCCAGAGUCAGAUUAAAUCACAAAAUUCUAGUAAACUUAUGUUGCAAUAAACUAACCUACCAAAAUGAAGAUCACAUUGAUUUUUAAAGCUUAUUGUAACUAAUUGUAAUUGUGUGGGGCAUCAUUUAUCCAUUUAAAAAAAAAUACUAUUCUUAAAAUCAUACUAUUGUGUGCCUGAACAAAUUAACUCAGGUUUUACAUAAUGGACAGACAUGUUUGUUGUUUUUCUAUAAAGAAACCUGAACACUCAUUGAACUUUUACAAAUGGGUAAAUGGAUUUAUUUUAACAUGAUAAUGUUACCACAGGUAAUUCCUUUAGAUAAUCCUCUUCUUAAUUGUAAUGCCAUCGAGAUAUCAGGUUCUUUGUGUAUUGUUUGUUUGCUUUUCCCAGGACCCAAGGAGGAAAUACUCCCAAGGAAAUUCUGUCUAAAUAAAUGUGGCAAUUGGUUUAAAGAAACUUGGUAGUUGGGGAGGGGGACAUCAUGAGAGCUCUCUCUCACUUGCUUUCGGGUCCUUUGUUCAUUCUCUCUUUUAUUCAAACGUGUAUGUCAACAAUUUAUUAUACGAUGUGUUAGGAAACAAUGACAGAAAGGCAGACCCAGGCCCUAUCCUCUCAGAUACCAAAAUCAUGUGCGAGCAGCAUUUGUUGCAAGCGUAUAGGUCCAGGCACUGUGCUGGCUACUUACCAUCGCUUGACUUUUGAUUUUUCACAACCUGAUGAGCUACACAGCUGCAUCCUACAGAUGAAAAACUUGAGACUCAGGUUAAGUGUCUUGCCUGAUGUCACACAGCUGCAAAGAAACAGCUCAGAUUCAAACCCACGUUGCUAAUUCUGGGACUGCCACCGUUUCGUUCCAAUCACACCUUAAUACCAAACCAUCCCUUCUUGUUAGGUGAAUUACUUUAUGCUUCAGGCACCAAAAUUUCCCUACUUUUGCCCUUGUCAGGCAACCAGAUCCCAAAUAUAGCCCAAGCUUACAUAUAUAAAUAUACAUAUACAUAAAUAUAGCCCAACCCCUAAUCUUUCCAGCGCAUUCCAUCUCCUGGCCGAGCUCUAACACUGCAGCAUGCCCUCCCCUCCCACCACAAGUCUCAAGUCUUCUUGAGUGUUCAUCAGAUGUUUCAGACUGUAUUGUAAGUUCUAAAUUAGACUAUCAAGUUCCCCAAAGACCUAUAUUCUCUUUUCUCUUAUAUUUGCCACAGAAGUUAGGCAAAGAGUCAGGUGCUCAAAAAAUGACAGUUGUCUUUUCCAUUGCUUAAUUGGUUCUGUGAUCCUAACAACCCUAAUAGAUUCACAGAAAGAGAAGUUAAGUGACCCAUUUAAGAAUCAGAAAAGACGGGGUUCUUAUAUAGCUGCCUCCUUUCUCCUUCAAUCACUGCCACUGUCAAGACACUGUGUCUUAUGAUCAUCGACUUUGCCUGACCAGUUUUGAGAUGACUACACAGUCCUGGUUUACCUGAUGCAGAUGGGGCUCUACCCUAAGCUUUGGGAUAAGGCCAAACUUAGACUUCACUGCAGCACCCACUUAGCCUGAAAUUGGAAGAAACUCGAGAGUCUGUCGGUGGUUGUCUCCUGCUCUGAUAAUCCAUGGGCCUUUGUAUUAUCCUUCUGUUAACUUAACACCACCUUGAGAUGUCAUUGGUGUAGCCCAGCACCUUGGAACAAGUGCGAUCUCAUGACUGUCGACAUCCUGGAUUGACUGAGAGGAUUAUUCCUAGAACCUGUCGUUUGGAAGCCACUAGAGUUUCACAGGGUGUUGAUAGCCACUGGUUAUCACAGUAGUUCAGGGCAGCCAGGAAGUCCUUCUCCCUUGUGGAUGUUUGGGCUGAACUUGUGGUUUCCAUGCGCCACCUUUCCCAUUGCUAUGUGGCUGCAGUCAGGACAUCAUGGCGUUGCCUUGCCAGCUCGUGAGAGAAGACAGGGUUGAGACAGAGAGGAAUGCUGUGGGAAUCCAUCAUCCUCAAUCCAUCUGUACGGUGUUCACCACCUCUCAACCUCAGCAAGAUUGUGCAUUUCUUUUCCCUUUUCCUUCUGGAAGAGAGGCAUAGGAGCAAGCCAAGCAGGCUCUGAGGCCCAGGGAGGUCUGGAGUGUCAUCUGUAGAUGAAAGCUGUCCUCCUCAGGGGGCUUCUGGGAGACCCUCCACUGGGAGACAAGUAGGAGCUAACAGCUUAUCAUGCGCUAACCUUUCUCUUCCUUCUCACCUCUACAGAGGCUGCCCCAGGGCCCCUUGCUGUCUGCUUUGGGGUUGUUAUAAAAUCAAUAUCCCUGCUCCUCCCUUUACCCUCCUCUCUUACCCAGAAAAGGGAUGAAGCCAAGUCUCCAUGACAUUGGGAGGACUUUGCAGGAGUUCUCUUUUCUCAUCUGCCUCUCCAUCCCUCAGACAGCCUGCGAGAUAAUGUACUGUUGAUUUCUACUCUCGUGGAGGAGGAUUCCAAGUGAUCACAGAGGAGAGGGAUCAGAAUCCCUGAACCAUUGGCUUAACGUUCCAAAAUGCUAGUUUUCAUCCUUCUUCAUGGUCUCGUUUAUCUUAAAAGAAUAUUUCCUAUUAUUUCUCCACUCUGCUUUCUCAUGGGUUUGGAUUCUGCAAACAGCUCAAACCACUUCCUGACCACAUAUUUCUUCAUUUGGAAAAUAUGGACAAAGGUUGCUUUAACCCCUUGCCUUAUUUAUCAACUCUUUUUCCUCAUCUCCUGUGCAUCCCUGAUCAUUUUUGUUUUAAUUUCUGCUGUUGAUGGCUGUUAUUUCCUAAAUAGAACAGUUUUCUACGUGUCUCUGGGGUUCCUUCCUUUCCUCCCCAAUCUCUCCAUAUUUAAAGUCAUCACCCCGGCGGAGUCCUUAGGAAUCACAUUGAACAGUUUGGCCGCACAUUCAAGUGGUCAGACAGGACAUUAGGUCACACUCUCAGUCAUCAUCAAAAUAAAAGUGUGUUGACGAUUUAAUGGAAACCACCAUCAACGCUGCUUGGCCAAGAAAGAAGUACUCUUCUAGGGAAAUCAAGCAAGUGAAGGAAUCCAACAGGCCAUCAAGGAGUGAUCGUCUGAAGACUUAAAUAAGGAAAAAGGAUCUGGCAAAAUAUAAAUGAGAGGUCAGUUCCUUGAAGAAUGUCCCCAGUUGGGUCAUUCUGAAUGUAACUCAGCAUUCUGUGGUCAAAGUGAACCCUGGUUGCAGGACAAGGUGGGUGACAUGUACGUUCCUUAACAGUGAGUGAAUAACUCUGCUGAAAUGAGGAAUAAGAUGCUUUCAGCACCCGGGUGUGUUAAUAUUCUUACCAUAUGUAUAUUUACUGGAAAACUGAAAUAGACAAGGCUCCAUGACUCCAGAGUCACAGUACUAAGAAGCGUCACUCCUGGGUCUUCUGCAGCAGCUCUUCUCCGUCUUUUCUCACUGGCGCUGAGCAGGGACCGCCAAGGGGAGGGUUGCACACACUUCGACGGUCUACAGCUUUCUUCCCCAUGGUGUGGAUCAUAUUCCCUCCCCAUCUGUGGGCAUCUCUCUGAGUCCACAGCUGCUCACAGAACCACAGGGCAAAGACAAGAGGCUUUCUCCUUACAGCGAGUCUCUAAUUGCCCUGAUAGUAAUUAGUCCCUAAUUGGCCAUUUUUUGAGCAAAUGCUGAUUACUUCUCCCUCUCCUUUAUCCUUUUUUAUUCUCCCAGUUUUUUUUAUUCUCCCUCCAAUAAAAUCCUAAAAUACAGAUAGGCUAAACUUCAAGGAAAAAUUGGGGGAAAUUUCCUUUUGAUGGUUAAAAGCUGUAGCUCUACUAGGCCCAGUGGUGUAAACCUUUCAUCACAGUGUCUUGGAGGGCUGAGGCAGGAGGAUCACAAGUUCAAGGCCAGCUUCAGCAACUUAGUGAGACCCUAUCUCAAAAUAAAAACUAAAAAAGAGCUGAGAAUGUAAUUCAGUGGUAGAGUACCCCUGGGUUCAGUUCCCGGUACCUAGAUAAAUAAAAAAAUUAUCAAAAUUUACUUAUUUUUAAUAAAUUUUAGUUUUAGAGCAGUUCACAGAAAAAUUAAAUGGAAAGUAUGGAGAGAUCCCAUCUGCCUCUUGACUACAAAUACACAGCCUCCCCACUAUCCAUAUCCCACACCAGAGUGGCCUUUGUUACAAUUGAUGAACCCACAUUGACACAUCAUUAUCACCUAGAGUCCUUAAUUUACAUAAGGGUUUCACUCUUGGUAUUGGAUAAUCUAUGGAUCUGAACAAAUGCGUAAUGUACCCACCAUUAUGGUAUCAUACAGAACAGAUGCAAAGCCUAAAAAUUCUUCCAGCUCUGCUUGCUCAUCUCUCCCUUCUCCCCCUAGUUAGCAAUCACUGAAGUUUUUACUAUAAACAGUUUUGCCUGCCCUAGAAUGUCAUAUACUAGAAAUCAUACGGUGUGUGAUCUUUUCAGAUGGGCUUCUUUCACUUAGUGAUACACAUUUAAGUUUCCUCUGUGUCUUUUCAAUCUUCAUUUUAGCUUCAUUUCACUUCCUUUUAGCACUGAAUUAUAUCCCUUUGUGUGGAUGUACCAAUUAUCUAUUCAACCACUGAAGGACAUCUCAGUUUUCAAGUGAAGGCAAUUAUGAAUAAAGCUGUUUAUACACAUCUAUGUGCAGGUUUUUCUGUGGACUUCAGUUUUCAACUUACUUGAGGAAGUGUGCUGGGAUUGACUGCUGAAUUGAAUGAUAAAAAAAUAGGUGUAAUUUUCUAAGAAACUGCCAAACUGUCUUCCAAAAUGACUGUACUAGUUUGUAUUCCCACCAUUAAUGACUCAGAGUUCCGUUGCUUCACAUCCUCUGCAUAACUUGGUAUCAUCAGCAUUUUGGAUUUUGGCCAUUCUGAUAGGCAAUGAUGAUAUUUCACUGUUGAUUUAAUUUGCAUUUCUCGGAUGACCUAUGACACGGGGCAUCUUUUCAUGUGCUGUUUACCAUCUCUGUAUCUUCUUUGGUGAGGUGUCUGUUAAGGACUUUGGCCCAUUUUUUAAUCAGUUGGUUUUCUUAUUGUUGAGUUUUAAGAGUUCUUUGCAUAUUUUAGAUAAUAGGCCUUUAUCAAGUGUGACUUUUGCAAGUAUUUUCUUCUAGUCUGUGACUCACCUCCUUAUUUUUUUGACAGUGUUUUUGGCAGAGCAGAAUUUUUUUUUUUCAUUUUAAUGAAGUCAUGCUAUCAAUUCUUUCUCUCAUAGGUUGUGCCUUUUGCUGUCAUGUCUCGAAAGUGAUCACUGUACCCAAAGUCAUCUAGGUUUUCUCCUGGUAACAGUUUUACAUUCAGGUUCAUGAUUUAUUUUGAAUUAGUUUUUGUAAAGGGUAGUGUAUGUGUCCUUCCUCCCUCGCUCCCUUUCUUUUCUUCGUGCAGAUGUGCAGUUAUUCUAGCCCUGUUUAUUAAAAAGCCCAUCUUUUCUCUAUUGUGUUGAUUUUUCGCCUUUGUCACAGAUCUAUUUGUGGGGUCUCUUGCUGGGUUCCCUCUUCCGUUCCAUUUAUCUGUUCUUUCAGAUACCAACUGUCCUGAUCAUUGUUGCCUUAAAGAAAAUCUUAAAAGUUGGCUCCUAUGGGUCCUGCAGCUUUUGUUUGUCUACUUCAGUAUUGAGUCGGCUCUCUGGGUUCUUUUGCCCUUCCAUAUAAACUAUAGAAUCCGUCUGUCAAUAUCCACAAAAUAACUUGCCAGGAUUUUGGUUGAGAUUGCAUUGAAUCUAGAGAUAACUUGGGAUAACCAAUGAGAAGACAGUACGGAGUCUUCUUAUGCAUGGAUAAGCACUCACUAUUUAGUUCUUUAACUUCUUUCCACAGAGUUGUAUAGUUUUCUUCAUGUAAAUCUUGUCUAUAGUUUGUUAGAUUUAUAUCAAAGUAUUUCAUUUCUGAGGGGUUCUAAUGUAAAUUGUCAAAAGGAUUGUGCUUUUACAGAUCAUAUGUUUAGUCAUUCAACUUUUUAAUUUGUUCUAAUUAGUUAUACCUAACAGUAGAAUGCAUUCUGACACAUCAUACAUAAAUGGAGUAUAACUUCUCAUUCAUCUGGUUGUACAUGAUGUAGAGUUACACAGGUCAUGUAAUCAUAUACCCACUAGGGUAAUAAUGUUCAAUUCAUCCUACUAUCAUUUCUACCUCAUGUCCUCUCACCUCCCUUCACUCCUCUGUCUAGUCCAAAAUACCACUAUUCUUCCCCCCACCUUAUUGUGAAUUGGUAUCCACAUAUCGUAGAAAAUAUUUGGCCUUUGGUCUUUUGGGAUUGGCUUAUUUUGCUUAACAUAAUACUCUCCAAUUCCAUCCAUUUGCCAGCAAAUGUCAUCAGUUCAUUCUUCUUUAAGGCUGAGUAAUAUUCCAUUGUGUAUAUAUACCAAAGUUUCUUUAUCUAUUCAUCUUUUGAAGGGUACUUAGCUCGGUUCAAUAGUUUAGCUAUUGUGAAUUGUACAGCUAUAAUUAUUGAUGUGUCUGUGUCAUUGUAGUAUGCUGAUUUUAAGUCCUUCGGGUAUAAACUAAGGAGUGGGAUGCUGGGUCAAAUGGUGUUUCUGUUCCAGGUUUUCUAAGGAAUCUCCAUAAUGUUUUCCAUAGUGGUUGCACCAAUUUGUAGUCCUAUCAGUAACGCAUGAGUGUACCUUUCCCCCCCAUUUUUCUUUGCCAACAUUUAUUGUUGCUUAAAUUCUUUUUUUUAAAUGUUUAUUUUUUAGCUUUAGGUGGACACAAUAUCUUUAUUUUACAUUUAUGUGGUGCUGAGGAUUGAACCCAGUGCCUCGUGCAUGCUAGGUGAGCACUCUACCACUGAGCCACAACCCCAGUCCUGUUGCUUACAUUCUUUUUUUUUUUUUUUUUUUUAAAUAUUUAUUUAUUUAUUUUAGUUUUUUGGCGGACACAACAUCUUUGUUUGUAUGUGGUGCUGAGGAUCGAACCCGGGCCGCAGGCACACCAGGCGAGCACGCUACCGCUUGAGCCACAUCCCCAGCCCCAUUACAUUCUUGAUGAUUCUUGAUGAUUGCCAUUCUGACUGGAGUGAGAUGGAAUCUCAGUGUAGUUUUGAUUUGCAUUUCUCUAAUUGCUAGAGUUGUUGAACAUUUUUUUCAUAUAUACAUUUGUUUAUCAACUGUAUUUCUUUUCUAUGAAGAGUGUGUUCAGUUCCUUUGCCCAUUUAUUAAUUAGGGUAUUUGGGGUUUUGGUGUUGAGUUUUCUGAGGUCUUUAUAAUGUGAAGAGAGUCCACAGAAUUAGGAGAAAAUCUUUACCACAAGUACCUCAGAUGGAGCCUUACUCUCCAGGAUAUAUAAAGAACUCAUUCAACUUUUACUUCAUGCUACUACUACAUCUGGAUAUGAACUUGAAAACUCUUACUGUUCAUGUUGUCAUUGCUGACAUUACCUAACAUUCUUAAAGAUAAAUCUUUCCAACUUUUUCUAAUACAGUAAUUUAUAUUUUAAUAAAAUAAUCUGAGUAGGUAUAGAGAAUUAGAAUUUCCAAGUUGAAAGCAACUUUAAUGUCUUCCAAUCAUAUCUCAUGUUUGUAGUCUGGAUGCAUUUAAAACAAGUGUUCAUUCAACUUCUUUUUAAGUACUUUCGCUUAUAGGUACCUUCUUUUUAAGUACCUUUGCUUUACCAUCACAUGAUCAGAGUGUUAUCAUUUAAAAAUAUCUUUCUUUUUUUUCUUUGCACUCUUAAAUAUUUAUUCCAGAGCCGGUGCGGUGGCACACACUGGUAAACCCAGAGGCUCAGGAGGCUGAGGCAGGAGGAUCACGAAUUCAAAGCCAGCCUCAGCAGUUUAGCGAGGCACUAAGCAACUCAGUGAGACCCUGUCUCCAAAUGAAAUAUAAAAUAGGGCUGGGGAUGGGGCUCAGUAGUUGAAUGCCCCUGAGUUCAAUCUCAGUACCAAAAAAAAAAUAUUCCAGAGAUAUAAAAACUUAGAUUCACAUAGGAACUUGUGCAUGAAUGUUUAUAGCAGCUUUACUGAUAAGAAACCCAAAUUGGAAUCAUCCCAGAUGUUCUUCAUUAGUGAAUAGUUAAAAUAAAUGCAUACUAUAGAAUCCUUUUAAGCAAUAAAAAGGAAUGAUACACAAAAUAACUUGGCUGAAUCUCCAGGGAAUUAUUCUGAAUUAAAGAGAACCAAUCUUUAAAGGUCACAUGCUGAAUGAUUCCCUUUAUAUAACAUUCUUGAAAUGACAAGAUUGUGAAAUGAAGAACAUUAGUUAUUGCCUGGAGUCAGGCAGGAGUAUGGGGGUAGGAGAUGAAUGAGGUGGUUGUGUCUAUAAAAGGACAACAGUAUAGGUCUUUGUGGUGAUAGAAUUGUUUUAUAAAAAAGAUAACUUCUUGAUGUUGAAAAAUUCUUAAAAUUAAUAAAAAUCCUGUCUUUUUCCAUGUGUGGUAGGGCAUACCUGUAAUCCUAGCUACUCAGGAGGCUGAGGCAGGAGGGUCCAAAGUUCAAGGCCAUCCUGAGCAAUUUGGUGAGACCCUGCCUCAAAACAAAAUGUUAAAAAGGAAAGGAAUGUAGCUCAGUGGUACAGUGCUCGUCUAGAAUGUGCAAGGUUCUGGGUUCAACCAGUAGGACCACAAAUAAAAAUUAAAAACAAAACCUAUCUUCUUGUCACUUCCAAACCCUGACCCAAGUUUUAGUACUUAAUAUAUUUUGCAUGUGAUAUCCCUUAGAAUAAAGAAAAUCACCUUGUAUUCAAAAGUGUUUUUGUGUUCACACUGAUCAAGCCUCACUUCUUCAAACCCAUGGAUUUUCAUCUCCUUUUCACCCUAGCCCUCUCCUCAGAACAGUGCACUUUGCCCAGGUAUUUCAUAAAUCAUCGUGGGAAUAGCGGGAUAUGCCUGAGUUGCGCUGACCAUCACCUUUGUAUCAUCUCCACUUCAAAAAUGAUAAAACUGAGACUACCUGUUAAGUGAUUUAUGCAAGGUGUUAAACCAGGCCUUGAAUUUGGAUCUCUUUUCCCCUUAGUAGGGAAAAAAGAAUCCCCUUUAUUGCUUGGUAAAGCUUACAAAUCUGGCCAGAGACCCUAUUUAGCAUUGAGACUGAACCUGGGAUUCUACAGGUUUCCAUGUAAAUAAAACAUCUAAAGGACAUGGAAAUAAUGGAGUUUCCUGCUUGGGUUUGGGUCCUUCCCCACCCAUCCCAAUGCCUGCCUUCUCUCUCUCUCUCUCUCUCUCUCUCUCUCUCUCUCUCUCUCUCUCUCACUGGUGCAUGUAUGUUUGUUAGUCAUCUGCUCUGAGAGUCGGUCUGUUUAUAACUCACUUCCCUCCAGGAUGGCCACAUCAAAUAUGUGCUGCUGUCCCAGGACACCAAUAAGGAGACUUCAAUGAGAAAAAUGCACUUUUGCAAUUGAAUAUUCAGUGUGGCCCAUUCAAACUUAUCAUUUUUAGCUACAAAGUGAUACAAUAAGAAAAUCAUUCUUUCUGGGGUAUUUGCAGGCAAAAAGUUUUAUGAAGGGAUUCCAAACUUCAGAACCCCAAAUCAUACUGGGUCACGACUUGCUCAAGCAAAAUAAAUGUUCAUUCCCUUUAAGGAAUGCAUGCACAGUAUCUGGCCCUUUGAAGAGACCCAAGAAAUCAAAACAACCUUUGUGUGUUGCCAGGUCCUGGAUUCAAUUGCAGAAAGAAGUGAAUCAUCAGGAUUUAGCCAUCCUAUGAUGGCUCAGAGUCUAGGAGACCCAUCCUCAGAGAGUAUUGGGCUUGACCUGUUCUCUUAGGAGGACAAAAAGAAUAAGGGAAACUCAGACGGGAAUUAUCCUGAUUAUUCGCACUGCCCAGCAAGGCUGGAAGAAAGUGUCCAGACCAAUAACCACUUGGACUAUGCCUAAUUAAGAAGGUCUCUUGUACCUGUUCAUUCAUGCCCUCAUUCAGUCAUCCAUUCAUUGGGCGAUUUUUUUUUUAACAUCAACUCCUGCAACCUUAUCACUUAGGAACUGUACAAACAAGUUACAUGUCUAAGUUAUCAUGUCUCAUUUUUCUUAUUUGCCAAACAGAGAUAAUUCGAUUUCCUCUUCGGUGGUCACAAGCUUUAUGUGAGUGAAUGGCCAGUGCCUGGUGCCCUGGGAAGCACUCAGCUGUUGGCUCUUGUGAUUGUUCCUGCGUGCCCAGCACUGCCACGCAAGGUAUGGGGUUAAUACAGCCCCCAGUGUGAACAAACAGGGGAGUGCGGCCACCCUCUGCAUUCAUGAUCACCACUCUUUAAUCACCUAAAGUUUCAUGGCUAGACCAGACCAGGAAAAUCACCUGGGAUAAGCCCUUUAUUUUACAAAUGAGGCCCAGUGAUAAAAAGGGGGGCCUGGUCACAGUUGGUAGGAAGCCCAGCACCGGGGAGUCAUGUCUCCCAGUCCCCAGCUCCGUGGUUCUGCUGUUCCACUGCCUGUCUGUGGUGUUUUACUUGGUACUCCACUGGGGUGAACUGGGACAGUGAGGGCAGCCUGCCCUCAUUUUGCCUGCCCUGGGUCCCUUACUCUAUAUAUCCAAAAUAAAAUUUGGAGUUGUUCUUGUUAGAGACUUAAUAAUGUUUCACACACGCGUGUGCGCGCACACACACGUAUUUAUAUACCCAACAGUUUUUCAGAUACAUACUGAUUUUUUAAUGAAAAAUCCUCAGCAGUCUUCAUAAUUAAUCUUUAAUGAGCAUUUACUAUGGGUCAGACACUGCUCUAAACACUUUCACAUAUUGUCUCUCUAAGGGCCAAGUACUUACUUCCUAGCAGUCGGUGGAGAAACACUGACCUAAAAGAGUUGAUUUAAUGUGAUGAGUUCCUUGAUCUUAGACAGUUCAGAUGUAUCCAGUUGGGUUCUGUCCCAGAGAUGCAACCAUGUGAGCCACUGGAUUAAGUAAAAGUAACACAGAGAUUCCCUCUAAUGGUUGUACCAAAAAAAAAAAAAAUCUUCUAGCUGGGCCUGGUGGCCCACGCCUGUAAUCCCAGCAGCUAGGGAGGCUAAAACAGGAGGAUCGCAAGUUCAAAGCCAGCCUCAGCAACGGCGAGGCACUAGGCAACUCAGUGAGACCCUGUCUCUAAAUAAAAUACAAAAUAGGGCUGGGGAUGUGGUCGAGUGCCCCUGAGUUCAAUCCCCAGUACCCCCCUUGCCCCCCGCAAAAAAAUCUUGGGAAUUGCAAACAUUUUGAUCUGUUCCUUGGAUUUAUCUGGACCAGCUUGAAAAGCACUGACAGAAGUUACUGUUCUGUAAUAAUGUCUUUUAAUGAUAAUUAUCACUGCAAAAGAGAAGCUUUACCCAUAGCACACCCAGUUUGAUAAACGGUUUUAAACAUAGAAACUAUCCCAGAUGCCUGUUCUUCCACAAGCCUCAACAUCAUUUCAGAAUUAUACACAUGGUUCUUAGAGGUCUAUUGUGCAGCCAUCUAUAACAGGGAGCUUUGCUUUCCUGGGCUGGUCUCUUUCUGGCUUCAGAGAAGAACUCUGUAGGCAAGGUUCUAGCACAUUCCAGCACACCACUUUCAAACUGUAGCUACUCAAGCUCUUUCUAAAUGAAUGGAGACAUAUCUCCAGUUUCCAAAUAUUCUUGAGCAUAUUUUGGAACAUGAAUCAGAUCUAGUGUGAUGACUGUAUUUCCGUUUGUACAUUUUUAGCAGGGGAAGAAACUGUUUCUCCUGCCUGACCCAAAGGAGGAGCAUAGAGUUAAAAAUCUUAAAGUAGUGUUUGGGGGCUUAACACUUCCACGGAAAGUAAUUUAUCCUUGCUGUUGUAAAUGACCUGUUACACCUACUCUCACCCUACACAGAUGUCUUCUUUGGGCUAUGGUAACAUGAUUCUAAUUCAAUCUAGUAACCUAUUAAAAUUUUAUUCUAUCAGUUGUUUUAUUUAAAUCAGGAGUCAGCUAACAUUUUCCACGAAGAGUCAAAUGGUAAAUAUUUUAGGCAUUGGGAGCCAUAUGAUCUUUGUUGCAACCACUCAGUUCUGCCAGUAUGGUCCAAAACAGCCUCAGGCAAAUCAUAAAUGAACCAGCCUGGCUGCCUGAGUCACAAUGAAACCGUUUUGAUAGACAUCAAAACUUGAACCUUAUAUCAUUUUCAUGGGUCAUGAAAUCUUAUUCAACUGUUGAUUUUUUUCCCCCUCAACCAUUGAAAAAAUGUGAGAAUCAUUAUUGUCUCAUAGGCCAUACAAAAACAGGGCCAGAGUUGGCCACAGGCCAUACUUUGUCAACCCCUGGUACGAAGGAUUCCAACAAAAUAGUUGGCUGAGUCACAGAAUAUCUUCACUGACGGACUUGUUAUUAGUUUUAAAGAGAUUCCAGCAUCCCAAUAUGCAGUUGAUACAGAUAACUUCAUACUGGGGACCCUAAGGAUUUUUAAGCUUACAUAAUGUUGGCAGUUUGUAGAUCAGUCAUUGUGAUGGUCAAUUUAUGUGUCAACUUGUCUAGGCCACAAUACCAAAACAUUUAGUCAAAUACUAGUCUGUCUAUUCCUGUGAAGGUAUUUUUUAGAUUAGAUUAACAUUUACAUGUGUGGGUUUGGAGUAAUGCUGAUUAUAAUGUGGUUGGGCCUCAUCAGUUGAAGUUCUGAAAAGACUGAUUUCCCCUAAAGAACAGGUAAUUUUUCCACAGCUCUUCUUUGGAUCUCAUAGCCUGCAGAAUUUGGACUUGUCAGGAUCUAUCUUUCUCUACACACACACACACACACACACAAACACACACAUGGUUCUGUUUUUUUGGAGAACCAUAAUGAAUGCAUUCUAUCUUUCACAAUCUUUAAGGACUGGAUUUGGGUCCCACAUGAUUUUUUUUCCCCCUGGUGCUGGGAGAGAGCAGGGCCUCAAGCAUUGAUUAUUCUCUUAAUACAGAAAAUGUUCCUUCAAUUUUUGAUGGUAUUGCUCCUUAAAUCCCUUUAUGGACUUUUGAGGUCCAGGUCAAGCAAUUUAUUGGAUUUCUUGUCUUAAAUCUUUUUCUUAAGUUUAAAGCAAUAAUGCAGCUUAACCAUACUCCCAGGAACACUUAAAAUGGUUUAGACCAAUGCAUCUUCUACGUCUUUACUAGCCAAACAGACAUUUAUGUACUGGCAAUGUGUGCUGAUCUUCUACUAUGUUUUGAAAUCAACACAUUCCUUAAUAUACCAGAUUUAAAUAUAUUACAGCUGAAGCCUGUCAACAUACUCAAGCUCACAAAUAUUCAACAACUAAAUUAAUAGGUCUUUGUGACUUCUUUUAGACUAAUUUUGAUUUUCUUAAAGUAUGUUCUGCUGACAUUCAGCCUCCUUGUCUUAGAAGUUGGUCCCAUUUUUUUCUUUUUCUUUCUUUUUUUUUUUUAGAAAAAUAAGUUUGGGAAGCUCUUCAUGCUAUAUGCCACCUGUGGAGGUUUGUAAUAUGCAUGGCAUACUGAAGAUUUGAGAAGUUCAAUAGCAAAGAAACCUGUUUACAUUUGUUUAGUCCAUUGUUUCCAAAUGUAUUUCACCACAGAGAUUUUCUCUCUCUCUUUCUCUCUCAUUUUUCCCAUAACAUCCAUUGGAACACAUUCUGGAAAAUUAUAGUCUCAUAACUUUCUGUCCUCCUGAAGGGUCAUAAAAGGGCUAGAAAGAACAUUUCCUUAAGGACAAGUGAUAAAGAAAAGCACAAAUUAUUUUAUGAAACUAGUAAACAAUCAAGGUACUAAUGAUCCCUGGUAAAGAAUGCAGGGUCAGUUAAAUAAACUAUCCUUUGCUAUCUACUCUUUGUUUAUAUUUAAAUACAAUGUCUCCUCUUCACACCAUUACCCUGGGGACAGUCUGUUACUUCCUUUGUAAAGCUAAGCAGUUUUAUAUUUGCUCCCAAGUCUAUGCAAAGGGAAUGUGACAUUCCUCUUUUGCCUGUUUUGGAAGUGCCAAUAAUGAUAAAUGUAGAUGGGCAGAAAUGAGUGAAUCCAUAUCUUCCAAGGAAGGGGGAAAUAAGUCACUUGCUUAGUUUGUGCCUUUCUGCAGCUCCCUUCCAUCCACUACAGAGAGCAGGCACCUGGCAUGCAAGAUAUACCUGAUGCUUCAUGCAUCUCUGCUGGGGCCUCUCUGAGCUCUCCCCAAGGCUGUGCAAAGGAGCUCUGGGCUCAUGCCCCGGCCCCUCUGCUCCUGCAGACCCCUGUUCAUGGGUGUGGACAUGUCAAAUGCACGACAGUUCCCGGGACAGAGAGUGGCCCCCUCAGUUCCAGCUACUCCACUCUACAUUUCCCAGCAAAAGCACAGAGCCAAGGCUCUGCAGACUGCUAGCUCAGCCCCAGUCUGGUGGUUCCCAGCCUUGCUGCUUAUUAGGAUCACUUGGGGAGCUUUCAAAAUAUCAGGAAUCCAGGGACCUCACUCCCUGAAGCUCUGAUUUAAUUGUCUUGUGGUUGGUCCUCGGCAUCUCUAGCUGCUGUGAAAUCUGGGGUGACUACUAUGCAGCCAACACUGUGAACUUCUCCCUCUUUGGGACAUGAUGCAGGGAGGUUCUGGAUGAGGGGAGGGUCUCUUGACUUCUCGCUCCAGGAAACACAUGGUCUGUUUCUUAAAAAGUACUUUCAGGUGCUGCAUGCAUGUUAUUCCCUGUUGAUUUAUUGGGAUCUUAACAAUCUGAAAGAAUGAAGGCCUCUGGUCAAACAACAAAUGGUGCAUUAUAUGUAUCUGAGAUAAUAUCAGUGGGGUAGGAAAACUGCUUAUUGUCUCUGGAUUUUGUUCACUGGGAGAAAUUAGCUGAAAGCGACUCCCCCAGCACAGCCCGGCCCCUCUUCCAAGGCGGUCUCCACUCUUGGAUCUGGGAACUCACAGUCUGUAGCUCUCUGGCCAAAAUGUCAGAGGUCCCGUCUCUCACUCAACUCCUGCCCAUCAGGAAAUCCAGUCUAUGGCUGCCAGCUCACCCACCUGCUACUAGCAAGCUUAUAGGUCUCUGAGGGGCGGGCCUUGGCGGGCCAUACUCUUUCAAACUUUCUACUUUGGAAUUUCAAGUUGUGUUUAUCUACUUUAUUUUCUACUUUCCUCUUAUUUUAUUUUUCUUUUCAUUGAAAUGGUUUUGCAAAUCCAGAUUCUAAUCCUGGCUUUGCCUCUUACUGGUUGUGCCCUUACCUGUUCUAAUCUGCAUGAUGAGGUUAUUAACAUAAGACUGGCACUUUUCUCAAGAGAAUGAAUUGUUCAGUUUCAAAGAUACUUGGAAUCUGCUGCACCAGGAACUCAAGGCCGUGAACUGCAAGGUCCUUGCUGCAAACAGCCUAGGCUUCCAACCAAUCCACAUCAACUACUGAGAAGGGGAGGGCACUCAUGUCACACCCUCAGUGUGACCUUGCCCCAGUUUUCAUCCUAAAAAAUGAUCAGGUGAUUGUGUUUCUUUUUUUCUUUUUGUUGGCUCCUGUGGACCACAAUGUGACAUUCCUAAAAGCCAUCAGAGACAAAUUGUCCCGUUUCUCUGGAUUGCUCUAGGUCUCUCUCACUACUCAUUUAUUUCUGUUUACACUACCCUGCCUUCAGUGGCAGCCUCUGGCCUUUCUUACUUAUGUGACCCUAGACACGCAGCCCUGGCAUGGAAGGUGUACCCCAGUGGACCUCAGCUUCCUCACAAGAUCUGGAUCACAGACACCCCCUCUACCAGCUCUGAUGCUGGCUAGCCUCCAACAUCCCUCCCAACCAGGGAAGGAGAAUUCAAGAAGUCUUGAGCCCUUAGAGAACAGUUCUUAGGAGGAAACAACUGCAAGUCUAUAAUAACAUUUUGGAAAAAGCUCCAACACCAUCUUCCCUUUGCAUCAGUCAGAUUACAUUGAGUCAUCUCCAAGAAAGAUGGGAAUUCAAAUGGUGCAGCCUCUGUUGGAGGGGAGUCUGGAGUGUUGGGUGUUUGUCUUGGCUCAGUUUUGGAAAAGAUUUCCCUUGUCCUCUCUGGAAGAUAGGGUCCUUGUCUGUAAAUGAAGAGAUGAGACUGGGAGGUCUCCAAGGUCUCUACCCACCCUGAUGUGCUAAUGUUUCUGUGGUUCUCUCUGUGCACCCUUCUGCCUAAGGUCACUCAUCCUGAACACCAAGGACAAGACAGCGAAGUGUGGAUUAUGCAUGAUAAAUCUUAAAUACUUAAAUGCCUUUAGGCCAGAUGAUAUUUCCAUGGAGUUUAUUUUGAAAUUUCAAACAACAGCCAAUUCCAGUGUAAUAUACAUUAUUCAAAUCUCUCUCUCUCUCUCCCUCCUCUCUCUCUCUCUCUCUUUCUCGCACACACACACAUACACACACACACACACGAUGGGAGACUACCAAGUUCCAUUUUUGAAACUACCACUAUCUGUCAAAACACUACAAUUCUAAAAUUAUACAAAGAAGAACAUUCAUGCAAAGCUGUAAAUUGAAGUCAGGAGUCCAUUAAAGAUCUAGAAAGGAAAAUUCAUAGAAGCCCUAAAUACAAUAGUGNNNNNNNNNNNNNNNNNNNNNNNNNNNNNNNNNNNNNNNNNNNNNNNNNNNNNNNNNNNNNNNNNNNNNNNNNNNNNNNNNNNNNNNNNNNNNNNNNNNNNNNNNNNNNNNNNNNNNNNNNNNNNNNNNNNNNNNNNNNNNNNNNNNNNNNNNNNNNNNNNNNNNNNNNNNNNNNNNNNNNNNNNNNNNNNNNNNNNNNNNNNNNNNNNNNNNNNNNNNNNNNNNNNNNNNNNNNNNNNNNNNNNNNNNNNNNNNNNNNNNNNNNNNNNNNNNNNNNNNNNNNNNNNNNNNNNNNNNNNNNNNNNNNNNNNNNNNNNNNNNNNNNNNNNNNNNNNNNNNNNNNNNNNNNNNNNNNNNNNNNNNNNNNNNNNNNNNNNNNNNNNNNNNNNNNNNNNNNNNNNNNNNNNNNNNNNNNNNNNNNNNNNNNNNNNNNNNNNNNNNNNNNNNNNNNNNNNNNNNNNNNNNNNNNNNNNNNNNNNNNNNNNNNNNNNNNNNNNNNNNNNNNNNNNNNNNNNNNNNNNNNNNNNNNNNNNNNNNNNNNNNNNNNNNNNNNNNNNNNNNNNNNNNNNNNNNNNNNNNNNNNNNNNNNNNNNNNNNNNNNNNNNNNNNNNNNNNNNNNNNNNNNNNNNNNNNNNNNNNNNNNNNNNNNNNNNNNNNNNNNNNNNNNNNNNNNNNNNNNNNNNNNNNNNNNNNNNNNNNNNNNNNNNNNNNNNNNNNNNNNNNNNNNNNNNNNNNNNNNNNNNNNNNNNNNNNNNNNNNNNNNNNNNNNNNNNNNNNNNNNNNNNNNNNNNNNNNNNNNNNNNNNNNNNNNNNNNNNNNNNNNNNNNNNNNNNNNNNNNNNNNNNNNNNNNNNNNNNNNNNNNNNNNNNNNNNNNNNNNNNNNNNNNNNNNNNNNNNNNNNNNNNNNNNNNNNNNNNNNNNNNNNNNNNNNNNNNNNNNNNNNNNNNNNNNNNNNNNNNNNNNNNNNNNNNNNNNNNNNNNNNNNNNNNNNNNNNNNNNNNNNNNNNNNNNNNNNNNNNNNNNNNNNNNNNNNNNNNNNNNNNNNNNNNNNNNNNNNNNNNNNNNNNNNNNNNNNNNNNNNNNNNNNNNNNNNNNNNNNNNNNNNNNNNNNNNNNNNNNNNNNNNNNNNNNNNNNNNNNNNNNNNNNNNNNNNNNNNNNNNNNNNNNNNNNNNNNNNNNNNNNNNNNNNNNNNNNNNNNNNNNNNNNNNNNNNNNNNNNNNNNNNNNNNNNNNNNNNNNNNNNNNNNNNNNNNNNNNNNNNNNNNNNNNNNNNNNNNNNNNNNNNNNNNNNNNNNNNNNNNNNNNNNNNNNNNNNNNNNNNNNNNNNNNNNNNNNNNNNNNNNNNNNNNNNNNNNNNNNNNNNNNNNNNNNNNNNNNNNNNNNNNNNNNNNNNNNNNNNNNNNNNNNNNNNNNNNNNNNNNNNNNNNNNNNNNNNNNNNNNNNNNNNNNNNNNNNNNNNNNNNNNNNNNNNNNNNNNNNNNNNNNNNNNNNNNNNNNNNNNNNNNNNNNNNNNNNNNNNNNNNNNNNNNNNNNNNNNNNNNNNNNNNNNNNNNNNNNNNNNNNNNNNNNNNNNNNNNNNNNNNNNNNNNNNNNNNNNNNNNNNNNNNNNNNNNNNNNNNNNNNNNNNNNNNNNNNNNNNNNNNNNNNNNNNNNNNNNNNNNNNNNNNNNNNNNNNNNNNNNNNNNNNNNNNNNNNNNNNNNNNNNNNNNNNNNNNNNNNNNNNNNNNNNNNNNNNNNNNNNNNNNNNNNNNNNNNNNNNNNNNNNNNNNNNNNNNNNNNNNNNNNNNNNNNNNNNNNNNNNNNNNNNNNNNNNNNNNNNNNNNNNNNNNNNNNNNNNNNNNNNNNNNNNNNNNNNNNNNNNNNNNNNNNNNNNNNNNNNNNNNNNNNNNNNNNNNNNNNNNNNNNNNNNNNNNNNNNNNNNNNNNNNNNNNNNNNNNNNNNNNNNNNNNNNNNNNNNNNNNNNNNNNNNNNNNNNNNNNNNNNNNNNNNNNNNNNNNNNNNNNNNNNNNNNNNNNNNNNNNNNNNNNNNNNNNNNNNNNNNNNNNNNNNNNNNNNNNNNNNNNNNNNNNNNNNNNNNNNNNNNNNNNNNNNNNNNNNNNNNNNNNNNNNNNNNNNNNNNNNNNNNNNNNNNNNNNNNNNNNNNNNNNNNNNNNNNNNNNNNNNNNNNNNNNNNNNNNNNNNNNNNNNNNNNNUUGGGUGACAUCCUAUGAACCAAGUAGACCUUUUAAGGUGAUCCAGUUUCCACAGCACUCCUCCCUCCCUCUUAGCAUGUGCUUAUCCCCAAUAUCUCACGGUUUUGCUGUCAUGUAUGCUAAAACUCAGAAAGCAGUGUUAGAGAGAAGAGUAAGUUGCAUAACUCCCUAAAAAAGGAGAAUUGAACAUUCAGGAGUUUUAGAACAGUGGAACUAUUCCGUAUGACACUAUAAUGCUGGAUACACGUUUGAAAAAACCCAUGUAAUGGACAUUACCAAGGGUGAGGCCUCAUGUGAACCAAGGACUUGGGGUGAACCAUGGACUUAGAGUGAGAAUGAGGUAUUUGUGUUGGCUCAUGGACUGUAACAAAUGCACCCCUCUGGGGGGACAUGGAUGGUGAGGAAAGGCUGUGUAUGUGGGAGGCCAGGGGAAUAGGGGAGCUCUCUGCACUUUCUGCUCAGUUUUGCAGUGAACCUAAAAUUGCUCCUAAAUAAAUAAAGUUUAUUUUAAAAAUAAAGAAGAGUUUGGAACUCUGCUUCAAAACAUAUUGUUUUUUGGUUUAUGGUUUUUUUUUUUUUUUUAUCCCAGCUAUCGGAGAGUAGUGAAACAAAACAGAGCCCUGGGGAAUAAUCUCAUCUCCUUUACAGGUCACUCCCUUUCACAGGAGGCUUAGAGGCAUCCGGUCCUCAGUUCCUGGGUCUCCUCACACACUCUUCUCACUGUCUCUUCCCUACUGAUGACGUCUGUUUAUCCUUAUCUAACCCAGAAUUAUCUCUUAAAUUCCAGGCUCUUCCAUCCAAAGGAUCCAAGAAGUCUGCCUUCAAAUGUCCCUUAGGAAUUUCAACAUCAACUUGCCCCAAAUGGAAACCAUUAACUCCUCACCCCAACUCCUUCCUCCAUAUUCUGACCUUUAAGUAAAAGAGGUACAACCGAUGGUCUGUAUGGACUAGAGCUGUAGCUACCCUCUGAAAUCUUCCCACCGAAAUAGCAAUAGUCCCACUCUCCUGAACUGUAGCACAUUGAAUACUCUCAAUACUAAGGAUACCUGUGUUCUUCCUAAAAAUCCAAUAAAAUUACGUUACAAUAAAAGGAUUAAAAAAAAAAAGUAUGAACGAUCAAGGACAAAUCCACCAUGGAGAGAGGACAACUACACAACCUCAGAAGACGGAAAGUAGAAACUAGUUUGACCAACUAAAGAAACCUUGAACCCAGGCUGGCAAUGGGAAAAACCCAGAACAUGUUGAUUAACAAGGAUGAACCCCAGAAGAGCUCAAGAAGGAAGGCGCCAGGCACCCCUUGAAGACACAGUCGAAUAAAUCACAUUUCAGACAAUGGGAGGUCUCAUUAGCACAGCCUUCUGGCUCAUGCUUUCUGUUGGAAAGCGUGGAGAGACUGUGCUCCACCAAAGCAAAAGAGGAAGCCAAAAACUGACGACCUGGGAUUUAAUGAAGGAGGGAAGCUCAGGGCUUGGGGCGUCCUGAGCUGUUGAUGAAGGAAUGAAUAUCCCAGCACUUGGAAGUCAAAGAAUUUGCUUGAAAUCACACGACUCAUCUAGUGAGUGUUGAAGCUAGGAAACCAAACCCAGGCAUGUUGGAUGCGAAGGCCACAACGGAACAUUUCUGUAAUUGUGGAAUUCUAGGCUGCAGGAUGCCUACUGCAGAUAGAAACAGCUCCAAGACACAAGCUUACAAUGAGAAUGAAAGGAGAUAGCGCCCAAUUCAGUGCCUAGCACACGGGAACCUAGCUAUUGCUGUCUUCUAGUUAAAAAUAUACACCGUAAUUGUUGCCUCUACCAAAUGUUCUGUAAAGGAUUAGUAUUUUAGCUGGACCUGGAAAGGUAAUAAUUUUGGUGGUCGGUAUCCUAGUCAGCUUGGGAGACUAUAACAAAAUCCCAUGGACUCAGUGACAUAAACAACAGAUAGCCACUUCUCAUAGUUCUGAAGUCUGGGAUAUGCAGGACCAACGUUUUGGCAUGUUCAGUUCCUGGUGGGGGUUUCUCUUCCCGCUAUCCAGAUGGCCACCUUCUCACUGUGUCCUCACAUGGCAGAAAAAGAGAGAGAGAGGAGAGAGAGAGAGAGAGAGAGAGAGAGAGAGAGAGAGAGAGAGAGAAAGAUACACAGACAGACUAACCCCAUCUUGGGAAUCCCAACCUCAUGACCUCAUCUAUGCCUAAUCGCCCACCUCCAAAUAUGGUAGCACCCCUCAUCCAUGAGGGAUAUAUUCUAAGACCUCCAAUUGGUACCUAAAUCCAAGGACAGUACUGAACUAUAUGCAUAUUCUGUUUUUCCAAUACAUAGAUAUCUAUAAUAAAAAUUUAAUUUAUAAAUUAGGCAGAGUAAGAGAUUAACAAUAACUAAUAAUAAAGUAAUACUAUAUUGUAAUGUAAAUUAUGUGUUUCUCCUCUCUUAAAAUAUGUUAUUGUACCGUGCUCACCCUUCUUCCUGUAAUGAUGCGAGAUCAUGCAGUGCCUAGGUGACGAGAUGAAGUGAGGUGAGGGGCGCAGGUGUUGUGACAUAGCAUCAGGCAAGGAGGAUCAUGGAGCCAUGAAGACGCAGGUAGUGAAACUGCACAGGGGGGAAGACUGCGCCAGCACAUUGGAGGUUAGGACUUCAACCUAAGAAGGAGGGACAAGGUUAACAAAGGAAGAGAAGACAACAAAGAUGUCCACUUUGACCAUUUGUCAAAGGAUCCAGUUGCAAACCAACUACAGUUCAGCAUUUGCCAGAAGUUUGCUUAAAAUAUUUGAGAUUUAGAGGAAAUAUAUCAUCUCUCCAUUUCUCUAGUUUCUGUAAGCCCUAUCCCUGAAGUAAAUUAGAUCAUCAGAAAGGAAUAAACCUGCACUCUAUUAUCUUAACUCCCCACAGACUAACUUGCAUAGGAUUAAGAUUAAUGCAAUGUCCUUAAACCAUGGAGAAGAGAAAUAAAUCAUCAGCUUGAAGAAUAUUUUCUUAUCUUGUGCAAAAUCAUAGUUGUAGACAACAUGUACCAUGUUACCCACCUUUAAAGGGUCUGAAAAAGACUUUGUCCCUAGAUAAAUUUGUACGCUUGCUUUUAUCAUGCAAUGACAACUUCAUAACCCAGUGCCAGGAGAAGAUGUAGUGCUCAACAGCAGUGAUUUAAUUUGUACCAAAUGGUUAAAGACAGCUCUUUUCUCCUUGCAAAUAUUUUUAAAAUAAAUGAGUUUGUCUUAUCCUUAAAAAUAUUGUGUGUUAUUUUUAAACAGAUUAGUUUUAGACAAAUAAAAGUGAAAAUAUGAUUGAAUUCUGGCAUAACACAAGUGUCAGAAAGUAAUGAAAAUCAUAUUACCUGAUAGAAUACGAUUUGGGGACACCUUAUAUUUAAUGAAAUCUAUGCAUCUUUGUGAGGAGGAGAUUUAAAAUACCAGCUAAUUUGUUUACUAAACUUUUUUUAAAAUAUUUUUUUAGUUGUAGAUGGACACGAUAUAUUUAUUUAUUUAUUUUUACGUGGUGCUGAUGAUCGAACCCAGUACCUCACAUGUGUGAGGCAAGUGCUGUACCACUGAGCCACUGUUUACUAAACUUUUAACAGAAAUAUGUGGAAAAUACUGGUGGAAGUAUUCAGUAGGGCAAAUUUAACUAUUAGAAGACAUUGUUUUUAUGCAUGAGGAAAAUCUUUUAAUAUCCCGUUUAAACAUUUCACCAUCAUUAGUCAGUAUUAGCUAGGUUAGACUGCAGUAGUAAUAAACAACCCCAACCUCUUAGGGGCUUAAAGCAUGAAAAGUUUCUUUCUUUCUUUUUUUUUUAAUAAUUUUUAGUUGUCAAUGGACUUCUUUUUUAUUUAUUUAUAUGUGGUGCUGAGAAACGAACCCAGUGCCUCACAUAUGAUAGGCAGACGCUUUACCACUGAGCCACCACUCCAGCCCCCCAAAAACUUAUUUCUUAUUUCCACACGUCCCUCUUGGGUGGGCAGGGUUUCCAGUCUACAUUGUCCUCACUGGUCUGUAGCAAUUCUAAAUCCAACACAGCAGAUAUUCCACAGUCUCCUACUUGAAGAUAGGAAAAGUUCCUUGCUUGGGUCUCAAUCCUGCCCUAACAAAGGCUUUCUUAUCCAGGCACCCUCCUGAAGCCUGGCCCAGCACCUGGACAAGCCUCUCACUAUUCUCUGGAGCUGCUUUUCAAAUGGAUGCUAUGGUCUGAAUGGUUCAUUUGCUAUGCUCCUUUUCUCAGAACUUUGGCAACCACUGUUGUUCUAGAAGAUGGAGUUUAUACCAGUCUAGGUCCCUAAGUGAGGACAAUGUAGACUGGAAACCUUGCCCACCCAAGAUGGACAUGUGGAAAUAAGAAAUAAGCUUUUCAUGUUAUAAGCCCCUAAGAGGUUGGGGUUGUUUGUUACUUCAGUCUAACCUAGCUAAUACUGACUAAUGAUAGUCCAGAUUCCUAUGUUGAAAUCCUGACCCUUAAGGUGAUGGCAUGAGGGGCAAAGCCUUUGGGAGGUGGUUAGGAUGUGAAGGUAGAGCACUUGUGAAUGGAAUUAGUGCCCUGAGAAGGAAGGUUCCAGAGAGCUCAUGCACCAUCAGCAGAUGCAUCUAGAAGACACCAUGUAAGUACAGGAAACAGGCCACUACUGCAUACUGAACCUGUUAGAAACUAUAGCUUCUGCAACUAUAUGAAAUAGAUUUCUGUUGCUCUUACAGUUAAUGGCAUUUUGCUAUAACAACCGAAUGGACUAAGACAAGAGCUGUAAAAUGUGUCCUUCUCUGGGACAGGCAUCUUUCUCAAUCCACUUCCUGCUCUUGUGAUUGGAGUCCCCAAGUAAUUUACAUUUUCAACCAUUACCCUCUGUCUGUCCCAAUUGAUGGACAUUUCUUUUGUCAAUACAACUCUGUCAAAAACAGAGCUUCUUUUGUGUUUUAUUCUAAUCAGCCAAUAGCCACAGUUCCUUUUGAGGCAUGAUUCACAUAUUUAUGUUGCUUUUCUUUCUUGUUCCCAGGUCUCUCUCAAUUUAAUUUCGAUUCCCUGAAGAUAUGAGGCUUUAGGAGGAGUUACAUUUUCAGUCUCUUUUCCCUAAACCAUUUUGUUUAGGUGAAAGGGUACUUUUUCUUUUGAACACCACACCAUUAUCUGAACUGUUACUCGGAGACAUCUUGAUACAGGUUUUAACAAUUGAUAUGAUGAUGGCACCCUGAAUUUGUCCCUUGAUACACGACCGAGUUUUCAUUGAUCCCUGUUGCUGCUGUUUAGGACUGAGUCUUAUUUCAGGCUUAUCAGUCCCUGAAUUCUGUUUUUUUUUACAUUCCUGCUUGAAAAUGCAUCCAUUUCUUUCUAAACUCACCUCUUUCUUGUAACAUCUUGCCAAAAUAACCACCAGCACAUGCUACUAACAAUAAUCAUCUCUCCCAAUCUUCUCCCCUAGAGGCAUGAGCUCAUCCAGAACACAAUCUGCAUCCUAAAUUCCUGCAGGCACAGCCUCUUGCUGCCCCCUCCCUCCUUUAUGGCCCUUAUCAAGACAGCAAUUCAUUUCAAUAUCCUAAUUUCUGUAUUAUUUAUCACAUAUGUGGUUAUGUUACAGGGAAAAAACCAUCCCAACAUCUCAGUAGCCUAGAACAAAUUAUUGUUUUUCUCUCUUGCUACAUGUUCAGUACAGGUCAGUGAAGGUAGCUUCAUUCCAGGACCCAACACGACAGAACCUCAACCAGGUGGAGCAUCACCAGUUGCCAUGGAAGGCGGAGGAGAACAUGAAAAAUUGUGAAUCUGUCCAAAGGUGACACGUUAUUUCUGCUUACAUUUCAUUGGCUAAAACUUGUCAUUUUGUCAAUCCUAACUUGAUGGGGAAGCCAAAUCUUAUCACGUCUCCAAAAGGAGGAUUGACAGUAUUGGUAAGCAGUGCCAACCACUCCCAGGACGCCCACUUGAUAAAACUGCAAGUAAGUGUGGACCUUCCCCCACAUACUGUAUGUUGGUCUUGCAGUCUCCAGGGCUGGCAGAGUCUACAUUCUUAACCUUCCUGUAUCUCCAAAACAUUAAAGAGACUGAAAUUUAAUUCUCAGAGCUUCCAAUUUCAAGUGAAUGUUAUUGGCAUUGUUGACACAUUAAAGAGAAAAGGGGUAAAAUGGAAAGGAGUGUUCACACACAGGUACCAAAAUGGAGCAACCCAGGGUAUAUUUCCUUUGUAAACGUCACAGCACAAGUUUGCCUGUGCAUCGAUAUGUUUAUAUUUUUGAAACCAAGUGGGUCUUCUCUACACUCCAAAGCAAAGAUGAGCAUUAGUGAUUUUAGACAAAGAUGUCUAAAAUCAAGACAGAUCGACCCAGCCCAACGGUACGGAAUACAAUAUGAUCCGAGCCUCAGUUUUGCAUUGGUUGUCUGGUUACUCAAUAAAUAUUUGAUUGAUGGAGUAAUCCCAUGGCCCAGACAAAGACUGUGGCCACAGAAGGGAAAACAAUAGGCCAGAUGAAAACAGAGAUUCCAUUCCAACCCAUUUGGCCACAGUGUCAGAAGUUUAGUUAUAAAACUGGAAGUGUUUGUUCAAGGUUGAUGCUGGAACAAAGUGAGGCACUAUUUAUAAACUUUGAGGAGAUUCUCUAGAUAAAAUGUUUUUAAAUCGGCUUUUGGAAAGUGAGUGGCUUUGUUCAUGUUAUUGUCCAAACACUCUUUGAUCCCUUAAUUUCACAUUUCCUUUGAUUUUUUCCAAACAUUCAACAGAGAAAGUUCAUUUUUUCUUAAUAUGGUGAGCAGCACCAAUAGCUUGCUCAUGAUGGAGAGACCUUCUGAGUACAGUGUCACAGUAUCCCACGGUGCUCUCUGUAUCCCUGAGCCUCACCUUCUGUGAAGACAUUGAAGGCAAAAAUGUCUUCUUCACAUGGGCACACAUGACAAAUGGCCCUGACCACACCAGAGCUGGCCUUACUAAGGACAGGUCUAGGAAGGAUGCUCUCAGAAACUUCUGCAAUUGCUUUCAGAGCCUUCCUUGCUCCCGCCACCCCCACCCCAUGGUGACCCUUUUGCUAAGGCAAAGCUCCACAAACUGGAACAUACCAGGGCAGAGCAAGGACCUCUUUGUGCCAAUAUAAAGUAGUUUAUUAUUUGUGGCUAGGGUUUUUUAAAGUAAUAAUAAGAAUUGGUCCAGCCACAUUCAUAAGUACUGGCAAGGUUGGGAUUUCAACAGAUCUUUUCGAAAGUCACAAUUAGACCUACAGUAGCUGGCCUUGAAGGAUGAAUAAAUGCCCCUCAGCUGAAUGAAGCAUCUACAUGGACUCUGAUCUCUUUGCACAAGGGAACGUACAGUUACCAAGGUCUGUGUAUGAACAACAAAACAGCAGCUCACCCCAUAGUCCAUCUAGAAUGUUCAGCUAUUUCAAUGAAUUCCUUAGCUUUAAGGCAUGAGCUCUGCAGGCCUUGGCCAUUAGUAAUGGUCCCAGGUGAUCUGCUUGGUAGUCAAUGUAAAUGUUAUUUAAAGCUGGACAUGUUGGUGUAUGCCUGUGAUCCCAGCAGCUCAGGAGGCUGAGGCAAGAAGAUUGCAAGUUCAAAGCCAGGCUCAGCAACUUAGUGAGAGACUUAGCAAAUCAGCAAGACCCUGUCUCUAAAUAAAAUACAAAAAGGGCUGGGGAUGUGGCUCAGUGGUUAAGCGUCCGGUACCAAACAAACAAACAAAAAAAGAAUUAUCUAAGCCCUGGUAUCAGAGCCAUCUGAUCCAUCCUCCUGCCUGCAGAAAGGGCCACAUCAACCACAAACUGGAGAAAUAAGACUAGACAUUUUUUAAAGAUCUUCUCAUCUCUAUACAUCCAUGUGAGUUGGUUACAAAAACAAGCAGUCAUCCAAAAGUACAAAGAAAUUUAAUAUAUAGUAAGAGUGGCAUUUUAAAUCCUUGAGGGAAGGUACUUUAUAAAAGGGGGAUGUUGGGACACAUUGGCAAAGUAAAAAAAAGAGUGAGAACACUCCAAAUUCCAGGCUGAUCAAACAUUAAAUUUAAAAGACUAACCAUAAAAGAAUAAUAAAAAAAAACAAUGUGGGGAUAGAGAUGUGGCUAAGAGGUACAGUGCUUGCCUGGCAUGCAUGAAGCCCCAGAUCUGACCCCCAGAACUGCAAAACGAAAACAAAAUAACAAAAACAUGCAACAGUUUAAUAAUCUCAAGAAAAGGGAAGACCUUUCUAAGUAUAAAAUUAAAACCCAAAUAAGGGCUGGGGAUGCAGCUCAGUGGUAGAGGACUUACUACAUGUGUGAGACCCUGAGCUGGAUACCCAGCACCAAAAACAAACAAGUCCCCCAAAUAAGAAAAGGUUGCAUGUCAAAAAUCAUCGUAAAGCAAAGUCAAAAGAGAAAUGACACACUGGAAAAAAGUUGCAACUCACAUCUCAAAGGGCUCACUGACCCAAUAAAUAAAAAGCUCCUACAAAUCAGUUUUCAAAGACCAAUAACUCCAUGGGAAAAUGGAUCAAGUAUAAGGUGACAAUUCACAGAGAAGAAAAUCAGAAGAAGGGGCUGGGGCUGUAGCUCAGUGGCAAAGCACUUGCCCAGCAUGUGGGAGUGGGAGGCCCUGGAGUCAAUCCCAACAGACACACACACACACACACACACACACACACACACACUGAAGUUAUUAGCUCACUCACAAUGAGAGAAAUGCAAAAUAAAAAUACCAUACAUUUUACCUAUCAAAUUAGCAGUAACAAAAAGUCCCCUGAUAAUGCAGUUUGUUGGUGUGUGAAGAAAAGUGCACUCUUAUACAUUAUUCAGUGGGAUGGAAAUUGCUAAAGCUUGUGAUAAUGAUUAAAAUAUUCCUUAAUCACUCGGUUUGGUGGUGCUUGCCUGUAAUCCUAGUGACUCAGGAGGCUGAGGCAGGAGGUUUGCAAUUUCAAGGCCAGCCUCAGCAAUUUAUUGAGACCCCUUCAAAAUAAAAAAUAAAAAGGGCUGGGGAUGUAAUUCAGUGGGUAAGCACUCUGGCUGUUUUUCAAUCCCUAGUACCCAAACCAACAAACAAGGCCUUUCUCUUCCAUUUUAAAUAGAGCCCUAAUAUCCAGAGUAUACAAAGAACUCAAAAAAUUAAACAAUAAGAAAACAAAUAACCCAAUCAACAAAUGGGCCAAGGACCUGAACAGACACUUCUCAGAGGAGGACAUACAAUCAAUCAAUAAGUACAUGAAAAAAUGCUCACCAUCUCUAGCAGUCAGAGAAAUGCAAAUCAAAACCACCCUAAGAUACCAUCUCNAGGGGGGAUAGUAGAGGAUGGGAAAGGCAGCAGAAUACAACAGACACUAGUAUGGCAAUAUGUAAAACAGUGGAUGUGUAACCGAUGUGAUGCUGCAAUCUGUAUAUGGGGUAAAAAUGGGAGUUCGUAACCCACUUGAAUCGAAGUGUGAAAUAUGAUAUGUCAAGAACUAUGUAAUGUUUUGGACAACCAACAAUAAAAAUUAAAGAAAAAUAUAAAAAAAAUUAAAACUUGCAAUAUUUAAGUAUUUUGCAUACUUACAUUUUAAAGCCAGGUAGUAAAAUUCAUUAAUUUCUUUCUCAACUGAGCACUCAAUGAAUGAGGUCUUAACUUUUGAAUCCUCACCCCCACUUGGUGAGAACGUACAAUAACUUUAUGUUCAUACCUUUUGAGUGAUAAAUUGGCCUCUUGAAAGAUGGGUUUAUUCUCACGUAAACUCUCUCACAAAAGAAGAUGCCUCUUAUUUUUCUCACGUUAGGCCUGCCCUCUAUUCUCUCCACCCUCACACACACAUAACAAGGAUGGAACCUUCAGCUACCCUUAACCCCUCGGUGGCCACACGUCACCAAAUCCCUCAGAUCCCACCUCGGAAUCUCUGGGCUUUCUCUUUACAUCUCUAGGAGUACCAAGGGCCUUGAGCACAAGGCUGUCCUCACUACCGCUAGAUGUCACCCUCACCUAAACUAACAAGCAGUGCUUUACCUAAGAACUCUGUCCGUCCUCGUGUCCUCGUGGACCCUGGAACAGCUGGUUAACUCCAAAGAGCAAAGUUCUAACCACAACUGCAGUCUCUAGGGACAACAGGCAGGAAAAGGAAGACUUCGGGGGUCUGGCUAGAAGGGAGGGCUCCAAAAAAUGAAAGAAUGCUGUGCGUUGGAAUCUGAGAUUAUCACUCAGUUUGUGGCAAAAUGGAUCUGGAUAAAGUAAGGAAACAAGAGAAGCAAAGGUCCUGGGAGAAGCCGAGACACAGGUGCAAGCGGCCUGAGGCAGAGAGAGUUAGUGGUGAGUAGGGAGGAGACUGCGAAGAUAGAUAUUGCAGGGCCUUGGGGGGCUUGGUAAAGUGUGUAAAAUUCAUUCUGAAUUUAAAAAUAAAGAAGAAAGAAAUAUGAGAAGCGUUCAUAACUUCUGGGUUUUCACAUAAGGGCCCCUAAAAAUCUACUUGAGUAUAAUCACAAGGAAACAUCAGAAAAACCCAAAUGGAAGAGCUUUCCAUAAAAUAAGUGGCCUUGAGUGUUAUUAAAAAUGUCAAUAUUAUAAAGUCAAAGGGAAGCUGGAAAACCCUUCCAGAGUAAGGACAUUGCAGGACAACUGAAUGCAGUAGUGAUCCUGGGCUCACAGGGAGAACAAAGCACUCAAAGGGGCCACGGACAAUGUGGGAAUAUAGAUGUAGGUUAGAUGAAAUUACGGUGAAUCUCCUGGAGUCGACGUCUGUGGUGUGGGCAGGUAAGGUAACCUAUUUUGAGGGAAUUCACAAUGAAGUUUUAAAGGGUUAAGGGGGAGGCUUGUGGGCCUCUAAACACCCUUAGGCAUCGGGAAACCAGCAAAUUGCUAUAUUCAUGUGACACAUUUGACCAUUUAGCCACCAAACCAAAGGGGAUAAGGACCUCACCAAGAAGACUAGAAAUCUAAAGUCACUUUUACAAACCUCAUUGUCCACAACCCUGUUCUAUUUCUGCUGAUUUUUGUACUCCAUCCCUGUUAUGGUUUAGAUGUGGUGUCCUCCAAAAGCUCACGUAUAGAAAAUGCAAGAAGGUUCAGAGGAGAAAUGACUGGGUUGUAAGAGUCUUAACCCAAUCAGUGGAUUAAUCCCUUGAUAGGGAUUAACUGAGUGGUAACUGAAGAGCUAGGUGUGGCUGGAGGAGGUGGGAAUUGGGCUGUGGCUUUGGGGUAUGUAUUUUGUAUCUGGAGAGUGGAGACCAUCUCUCUGUCCUUCUGAUCAUGAUGUGAGCUGCUUCCCUCUGCCACACUCUUCUGCCAUGAAGUUGGGCCUCACCUAAAGCCCUGAGAAAUGGGGCCAGCCUUCUACGGACUAAGACCUCUGAAGCUGUGAGCCCUCAAAUAAACUUUUCUUCCUCUAUAAUGGCGCUGGUCAGAUGCUUUCAGUCACAGCAGAAAAAAAAAAAAAAAGCUGAUGAAAACAAUCCCCAAAGCAGUUUCUGUGGUUUCUGCAUCUCUGGAGAACCUUCAGAAGAACACUCGGGAGGCUUCAAGAGUGCUUCCCAUCUGAACAGAGGACAGUCACCCUUAGAUAAUGUGAUAAACUCUGCUCAGAUACGGAAAUGGCCUCAAGGUUCUCCAUAACUCACAUCCCGAAGAGCACUGGCCUUUUGGCAAGAAAAUCAUUCCCAGAAUGUAAUCCUUGCACUUAGAGAAAGGCGGCUCAAAAAUGUGACAAGAGAUUAAGCCUGGACGAAGCAAUGGAAAUAGAUGGCAAUGGUUUAGAGUCCACAUUUGGUGUGUUUGCUAAACACGGAUGCUGGAAGGCAUGGGAAAUGUAAUGGACAAGGAAGCUGGUGUGAGCUGGAAUGGCCACACUUCAGCACCCAUUAAUCAACUAGCAUUUUUAUGGGCACCAAUCCUAGGCAAGAUGGUGCACUGAGCGGUGUGAUCCGCAUGGAGAUCACUUCCACAUCUGUCUGCCUGAUUUGUGAACCUUCCACUAGAGGACCUCAGUGAAGUUCAGGGAAGGUCCAGAAAGGGACUGAGAUUCAAUUUUAUUUUAUUUCUAAAAUGCUUACAUCUGGGGAGGCAUGACUGACAACAUCCCUGAGGAACUAGAAGUCCUGUCGACCACAGAGCAAGCUGCACGGGCUGUUAGCUUUCCAAAGAAAACAGCAGCAGCCGUAUCAAGUGGGCACAGCCCUUGUGCUUCGGAAAUUAUGUAAAAAAAAAAAAUAGAAGCAAAUCCAAUAAAAGAUUAUGAUAGUGUAAAACAGUGUGAAAGGGUUCUUACUAAGAGAAGGCUGGAGAGAUUAAGAUUACAUUGUCUGAGGAGAACAAUACUCCAUUGCUGUCCCCCCUUGUGUGAUGGAUCACUGAAGGCGGAGGGUUCUGGCCUGGUUGCUCUCCAGCUUUACUGAGAUAUAAACAGAAGAAAUUUUUACAGAAUUUUUAAUCAAACUUUUGGAUGUUUUGAUCUUGGAAAAUCAAACCCAGAAAUGAGCUGCAAUGGUUUCUGUGGUUUCCGGGUUCCAAGAGGACUUUCAAAUGAAAACACAAUCACCUCCUCUGCACCACUUAGUCAGGCUUCUCGCCUGAACAGACAGUGGCCACCCACGGAUGAGGGUGCUACGGGGCAAUAAGCCAAGCGUGCCAGGGAGCCACCUUAGCCCCUCCUUCCAGAUCUAUCCAUUCAAGGCCUCGAUCAAACUGUAAAUAGGAUUCAUGGGAUGAUACAUUAACACCCCAUCUCAUUAAAUUAUCCAAUUAGUAAAUCACCUACGGGGAACCUUAGUUAAUGAGGGACAAAACAAGUAAGUUUUGACUCCAGAGGCAGAGUGGGGAGGUCCCUGGGACCUGAGAAAGUCCAGAACAAGUGUUUUGGUGGUAGAGAAGGAAGGAGGAAACUGGAAUUCUUCUGGAGAGGAAACCUCCAGCUGGGCUGCCGUGAUUUGCAACUUCAGAGUGGGGAGCAUCUGGGCUUGGCUUCUCCAGUCAUGGGCCUACAUCCCUCUCUCCCUCCCUCUCCUUCUCUCCCUUCUACAAUUCUUUCUUCAGUGAUCACCAGGCAUGGUUAGGGCUCAAGGCCCUGGGCUGGAUUUAGAAGGUCUGCACGCAUGCUAGCUCCCUUAAAUUUCUCAAAGGGAAAUGCUAUUAUUUGUGUACUGCACAGAGUCAAAUAAAUCAUUUCACCUCCUUUAGUUCACAGGGACUCUCUGGAACAAAGAGAAUGCUGCAGGAAAAACCCUCAUCCCCGAGACCCUCAGCUGCAGAGGAAGUGAUCCUUCAGGCCGCAUCCUUCAGACCCUCGUGUCCCCAUAAAUGGAACCCACAUGAUCCGGCCAGAUGGGCACUCACCUUUAACUGUCAGGACUACCUGCAGUUGAUAGCCACUUUGUCUGAUUCACUGUCAUAGUUUAUUAACCUUUUUUCUUAAGUCCAGAGAGCCUAUUGUUUGCUUUUGUCAACUACAGG